This 72288-nucleotide long non-coding RNA is filed under the name Sorghum bicolor (sorghum). RNAcentral describes it as "long non-coding RNA (SBIC_LNC012258)". The stretch from base 2260 to 2367 matches the Rfam family "Plant small nucleolar RNA R71". The record is from RNAcentral. Lineage: Eukaryota; Viridiplantae; Streptophyta; Magnoliopsida; Poales; Poaceae.
GAACUGAUUAAGUGUUAGCAUAAAUAUCUAGCCUUUAUCAUGUUGAGUGCCCUCAAUAAAUAUUACUCCCUGUUUUUAUAUUUUCGUUUUAUAAAGCAGAAAAGAAAUAUUUAUUUUAUUUUUAUGCCACCACAGUGAAUGUACUUAUGGGUUUCAUGUCACUCGUAUUCUCACAUGGGGCUUACUGUUUGUUAACAUUUUUAUUUUCUUUUUAGGAUAGUAUGAACAUGAUUAACUAAGCAAACUACUUUAAAUAAUUGAAAGGAAAAGAUAACUACCAAGUUUAUCUCUUGGCAAGGCGUUCGGUGUUUUUAAGUCCUCCAAACUGGACUCUCCAUUUUCUUGUUGUCCUGGGAUUCGUUGGGUGGCGUAGUCAGUACUUCCAGCAGCGCCUCCUCUUCAUGUAUAGUUAUCUUCUCUUUCCACACGUGACUCGGUGCUACGGUCUCCUCAGGAUAAUUCUGUUUAAACUGUAUGUCUUCUGACCUUACCACUUCUCCUUCAUAGUCUGCCCAUCCGUCCUUGAUGAUUUCCCUCCUCUGGUUGCGGUUACGUCGUUUUCUGACCUGCUUAGAGUCUUCAACGAUAUAAUUAGGGUCAGUAAAAUAGCGACGUACCUUCUCUGAGGGGAAGUGCAUAUGGACUUCUUCUCCCAUGUCAAUAAUCUGAAAGUCUGUGUAGACAAAAUGAUCGUCUAUUUUGACUAGGACAUCAGUCACUGUUCCUUUAACCUCUCGAAAUGUCUGAUCUGCCAUCUGGAGCUGAAUGUAUGUUGGUUUUAGGGGCAUGGUUCCGAACAAGAGCCGAUAGGUGACUGCGGCCAUUAUGUUGACGCCCGAUCCGGUGUCGCAAGUCAUCUUGUAGAGGUUAUAUCUAUUUAUAGAGCAAUAGAUGCUUGGCAUUCCUGGGUUGUCCUUCUUGGUCAAAAAUGGUGACUUAAGUUGAUGAUCUUGGCCUCCUUGAACUGCAGUGACCAUCUUAGCUGACUCGGUCCAUAGUUGCUUGUUCCUGUUCCUCUUGUUCGUCCACUUCCUUGGUUCAUGUCGGGAUUGCUCUGGGCUUUGUGUAGUCUUGUUCUUAAAGGAAAAUGUCUCCUUCCUCUCUUUGAUGUAGAAAUUGAUCUUGCCAGCACUAGCGUAGAUGACAGCUCCCGAGGUGUUUAAGAAUGGCUUCCCUAAGAUGAUGGGUGCUCUCUCAUCAUUACCGGUCUCUAUCACCACGAAGUCUACUGGGGCAUAUAAGGUACCAACUCGGACACAAAGGUUCCUCAAUAUUCCUUUCAGAAAACUUAUCGUCUCAUCUACAAACUGCAAACACAUAGUUGUUUCUAAUAAAGGAUAUGUAAAGAAUUUUUCAUGGAGUACCCUGGGCAUAAUGUUGACACUAGAGCCACCAUGCCGAUGGAGAUCGGGAUGACGGGGCGUCCUGGAUCACCACUCUUGACCGGCAGAAGGUCAGUAGUAACUUCAGUGACGGGGUUACUCCAAUUACCUGCAUCAAACAUGUCUACAAGAUUUGCAUAUUCUAAUCCUUCCGGUUGUGAGGGUAUACCGGGGUUAGUAGCAGAAACAGCAGCAGCUAUUUGAUUUAAUUGAGAUUUCAAUCAUUUUGUUAAAGCUAAUUUGAUUCUUGAUGGCAGCAGAGAAAUUUUCCAUUCUAUUAUUUAUAUUUUCUAGCAUUUUAUCAUUAGAUGCCAAUUUCUUAGAUAGGUUAUCCAUUAGCUUUCCUUGAUUAGACACUAACUCUCUCAAAGGUGGAAAAUUAUUAUUAUUGUUGUAAGAAUUGUUACCUUGAUAAUUACUUGAGUAGUUAGGCCUCUGUUGAUUCCAUCCUUGAUUUUGUUGAGGACGGUUGUAGUAGUUGUUGUUAUUGUUGUUGAUGUAGUUCACAUCCUCAAACAUCUAAGGGCAGUGAUUGCCUGAGUGUCCAGUGUCUCCACACUCCUCACAAGUCAUGUGAGAGUUGAAGAUGUGCAUAACUUCUUUCUUAUCUCCAGCUCUAUCUUCGAGCUUCUUUAUGAGCAGGUCUAGCUUUGCAGACAGCAUGUCUACCUCCUUGAGCUGAUGCAUACCUCCACCUCUCUUGCGUGUCUGGGUCCUCUCUUCAUUCCAGCUUUGGUUGGACGCCAUCUUCUCCACAAGAGCUGUGGCUUGUGGUAUGGUGAGUGAUAGGAAUGCUCCUCCAGCUGCAGCAUCCAUGGUUUCUCGGGCACUAUUGCCGAGCCCAUGAUAAAAUGUCUGCAUCAGUAGCCAACUCUCCAUUCCAUGAUGGAGAUAUUCUAGUAUGUAGUCUUGGAAGCACCUCCCAUGCUUCUAGAACAGAUUCAUCAUGUUGUUUCUGAAAACUUGUAAUUUUCCCACGGAGAGCAUUGGUCUUGCCCAUGGGAAAGAACUUCGCUAGAAAGUUUGUGGAGCAGAGUGCCCACGUAGUAUUCUUCUCCUUUGUAGCGUAAAACCACUGCUUCGCUCUUCCUAACAGUGAGAAUGGGAAGAGGCGAAGUAGUAUAGCAUCUCUGGGGACUCCUGAUAUGGUAAAUGUGCUGCAAAUCUCCAGAAAGUGUUGGAGAUGAGCACUAGCAUCUUCGUGUGCCUUCCUACAGAACUGGUUGGAUUGCACCAUGUUGAUAAGUCCAGGCUUGAGCUCAAAGUUGCCAUCGAUCUCUGCAGCAGGUCUAGUGCGGAUGUUGUCCAUAGUGGUAGCUGAGAACUCGCGGAUCGAUUUGUUCGCCAUGGCUUCGAACUUUGAAGACAAGUUCCGGUGAUCUUCUUGAUUGGAUGAAGCUUCUUGCUGAAGUGUUGAUGAUCUCUUCUUGAGCUUGGCUCUAGUUUUUAUGAAUAACGCUUCAGGAUUGUCAACAAAAUUUCCUAGAAUAUGUCUUCUAUUCAUACAUUACCCUACAUAAGAUAAAAUAGGAAAAUAUUGGGGUAAAACUGUAUGAGAGAAUUGAUAAGCUCAAUCACAUUAGUGAUGCGAAUGAUAACUCAAAAUCCUAUAUUCAUUCCUGAUUAGCAAUCAACCUUCCCCGGCAACGGCGCCAAAAAUGCUUAUUGGGUAUUCUUAACAUCAUUACCAAAAGCAGACUUAGUUUUAUAAUUCUGAUAACGGUGCCAAAAAUGUCAAACCUAUCCCUCAUACCACAUAAGCCAAGUUGUCAUCCCCAGCAUGACAUGAGAGACGCGGUAUUGAAAUAUGCAAUUGGUCAUCUAAAUAAAUAACAAAUGGGAUCUGCAAGCACACAGAUUAAUACCGAUGUAGCAUUUUAACCGGGAAGUAUUCCACGUAUCGUUAUUUAUAUUUUUACCACUGGGAAGGGAUUAGUAACCAUCAAUGUUGAUUAUAGAAUGGAAUAUGAGAUUGAGUAUCUAUCAUUGCAUGUAUAAUUGAGAACAUUUAUCUAACCCUUUCAUACAGGGAUAAGUGUCACAUAAAGGAUAUAUAAAGCAAUGAAUAGUGAUAAAGAUAAGUAAUCUGAUCAGCAUAACUUGGCCACAUAAUAAAUAUGAUAAGCACCACAAUUAGAUAUUCUAGCAAGUCAUUAGCAUGGAAUUAGAAUGAACUACAAGAAUAUUUCCUAAGUUAUUCUCAACUAUAUAGUCUAGCAUUAUCAUAGUUAGUGCAAGCAUACUUAGCAAUCAUUGUGAGACAUGACUACGCCCAUGCAUAGUGAUAUUAGCAAGGAAUAUGAGAAACAUAGCAAUCACUCCCCUGUAAUAAUGUUGCUCUGCCAGCCCAAUACAUGAGAGGGGGACUAUAUAAGAAUCAAUGAAGCUGUCACUAUCACGAACUACCCCACGAUCUGGCAUAUUGGGUACAAUCGCACAUAAAUAAGGUAUAAGCACCACGCCUACACAAUAUCUAUCAUUUACCCAUGGAUCCAAAGGAUAAAUGCUAUAUGAUCCUAAACAUGUAUAUAAUUCCAAUCUAACUAAGCCAAGUAUAUAACUAUGAUAGACUAAGAACAAUAUAAUCAAGAAUAUAAACAAGUAGAGCAAAGUCAUAAGCAACAUAUUGAAGUAGAAUAAAGUCAUAUUCAUAAUAUUGAAGAACAACAUGAACAAUUAGAAGAACAAUUAGAGAAUUACCAAGAAUCCUCUUGACAGAUCUGGAAACCAAUCGAAGAUUGACUCCUUCUAGUUCUAAUCCUAUGUAGCUAUGCUAAUCUAGAUGUCUAAUUGAUGUGGUGGCUCUAGGCUUGAUCAAAGGCUUCUUCUCCCUUAAGAAUAAUGAAUUAGGGUUGAGAGGCUCCUCUCCUCCAGGGGCCAGGGGGUCUGGUUUUAUAGUCCCUCCAAGUGAAUAUGGGCCGUUGGAUCAAACCAAGAUUGAUUGAACGAUUAUCCUUGAUCGUUUAGGUCAGUGGAGAUUGAUCUCGAAAGAGAGUCCUGAUUGGACUCAGAAGGGGGGCGGGCGCCCAGGGCCAGGCCUCGUUCGGCCUCCGCUUCCUUCCCAUGGCUUCUGGAGUCUUUUAGAUGUAAGAUAAUUGCGCGGCACAUUGAUAUCUCUAUGUAAUCCCGAUGUGUGGGUCUUUCUUCCGUAUUUCCUGAUAACCCCCUGCAGAAAUAGACAAACACCAAAACUCAUGGAAUUCUGUCAGAUAAAACCUUAAGUCUAGAUGUUGAUUUCAUUUGGAUCCAUUUCUUUAUUUAUUUGAUAAUUAAAUUUGAUACUUAAGGACCGUCAACACAUACCUUCAUUAUUGCGAAGCAUGACGGCUCCAUGUGACGAUGAGCUCACCACCUCGAACGGUCCUUCCCAUUUGCUUCAAAGUUUUCCAUGCCCAAAGAGCUUCACCCUGGAAUUAAAAAGUAAUACCUUAUCACCUGGGGUGAACUCCUUCUUGUUUAUCCUUUUGUCAUGCCAUCUUUUUACUCUUUCUUUAUAAAUCUUAGUAUUGUUGUUGACACCAUUUUUGGACACGUACUCAGGAUCGGUAGAGUGUAGAUCGGCAAAAUAGGGCAACGGUAAUUGGUCUGCAGGAGAGUUGCCGAUGGGGGUGGUUGCCGAUCAAGGGAUAGCUGAAUGUGACUAAGUCCAUGGAUGGUGAUGUGUUUAUGCUGAUGGUUAGCACUAGCCUGUGCCGAUGGCUAUGAUGAAGGGGUUGCCGACGAUCCAGAAGAAGAAGCUAAAGGUUGCCGAUUGGCUUGUGGUGGUUUGAUACGGAAGGAUAGUUCUAAUAUUUUCCUUAGUUAUUUAAAUUGUUUUGUAUACGGAUUCUGUUUAAUUUAGAAUUCAAGUUCUAGUCAUGUCUGGUUGUAGCUCUUUGAGCAGGGUAUAAAAGUAGACCCUAGGGCCUUGUAAUAAAAAUCAAUCAAUCAAUCAAUCAAUCAAUCAAACACAAGCUUUUACUCGUAUUUCAGCAUCUACUUUUUCGACGACUUCGUUAUAUUUUUCCUUUUUUCAUUAUGAGUUCUUCGGAGUUCGUCGACUUAAGCUUGGCGUAAUCUCAAGUUCUGCGUGAAUACCUCUUGGCCGUGGCAUCUGGGCGCAUCGCUGUUGUCGGGACCAAAGUAUUCGAGUUAUCACCUUUGCCGAUAGUAAGGUCAAAUCGGCUGGCACGCCUUAACGUUUGAAUCGGGUAUUAGCCCUUUGUGUUUGCAGAUCUAACUUUUGCACCAACACAUCUUUUGGCACGCCCAGUGGGACCUUUUCAAGAUCAAGAUCAACAUGUCGACUAUAGAGUUUGAUCAAGAAAACGUCAUCCCCGUGACAGAAGCCAAUCUCAAGGAUGAGCAGAAGCAAGCUAUUGCGAAAGCCAUGGAGGAUUAUAAGCAGCAAUGUUUGAGAUCCUUCAGUAUCAACAGGAGCGGCGAAGUGAUCCAGAAGGAAGCACUGCCCAUGCCUCGGCAUGUGACCAUUGAUGCCAAUCCUGGUAAACUUCAAGAUAUGGUUCAUAAUGCUAUUAACCGUGCUUUCAUCAAUCAAGCUGGUGUGCUGUCCAAUACGGUUUUCAAUGCCGUGGCUAGAACUUUUAAGGAAGGGCAGUUGCCACCAAAUUAUGUGGGCCCUUCUCAUCAUCAGCCAGGAUCACCGGUGGUCACAGCUCCAUCGGCUGCUAUAGCCGCUGUGGGCACACAAACUGCGGUACCUCCAAGAACGUUAGGAGUCACUAAUGCACAAUCUACGCCGAUGACGACUAAUCCACUGACUUCAGAUGAGCAGAUUAAGCUUACUACAGAUCUGUUGGCAUCGGCAAUGUCAGGGUCAGCCCCUCCUCCUAACUGGUGGUGUUUCGGUAUGCCUUCGGAAUACUUGACACCAGGCACAUAUCUGGCGGCUGAUAUGAGAGGCAAAGCUCCUAUGGCAUCAGCACCUCCAAAUAUGCUGAUGAAUCAAAGUCCCCAGUAUACUACAACCACUACUACAAGGCCUUACACCGGGAAUUCUCAAGCUCCAACGUUCCAGAUGCCUAACGCAUCGGCAGACUCAAUGCUGAUGCAACAGAGGUUUAUGACUCAGCCAGGGUAUGUCAAUUCAAUGAUAAUGCCUAAUUACCAGUCAUCGGUAGGUCCUAUGCCGAUGAUUGCUAAUAGUGGAUGGCCUGAGCAGCAAGUUUUUCCACAAAUGCCCUAACAGAAUCAUCAUGCUACAGGGUUUCAACAAGGCCAGAUCUACCCCGGAUUCCAGCACCAAGGGUUGGUCAAUCAGCCGAUGAAUCUCAGCCAGCAGAUUGGUGGUCCGCAGAUCGGUGGUCAGCAGUUUGGUGGUCAACACAUUGGUGUCCAGAUGAUUAACCCAAUGUUCCAUGCAGAUCGUGCACCGCACAGACACGUGGAAGCGUAUCAACAGAUCCCAGAUCCGCAACCACCUCAUCGGCAAUAUGCCGAUGCUUAUUGGGCCGAUAAGAUUGCUGAAGUAAUGAGGGACCAAUUUGGGAUAAAACCCAAAGUCAAUACUUGAUCUUAUCGGACACCGUAUCCUCCUGCAUAUGAUUUAAUUCUGCUUCCAAAUCGGUACAAAGUGCCAGAUUUUACUAAGUUUUCUGGGCAGGAUGAUACAUCAACCAUGGAGCAUGUCAACAGGUUCAUCAUCCAAUGCGGAGAAGCUGCUAACAGGGACGAGUUAAGGGUUCGCUUGUUCUCGUCAUCAUUGUCUGGAUCGGCUUUCACAUGGUUUAUAUCGUUACCUCCCAACUCAGUGAUUACGUGGGCUGAUCUAGAGAAGCAGUUACACAAAUACUUCUUUUCUGGAGUCCAUGAGAAGAAGAUCACCGAUUUGGUCAAAUUGAAGCAACGCAAUGAUGAAUCGGUUGAAAGUUUUGUGCAGAGGAUACGGGAAGUCAAGAACAAAUGCUAUAGCCUGGUUCUGGAUGAUCGGCAGCUAGCCGAUUUGGCUUUCUAGGGCUUGUUGCCACAUAUCAGGGACAAGUAUGCAUCUCAGGAGUUUGAAAGCUUAAGUCAUUUGGUGCAGAGAAUUUUUGAUCAAGAUAUCAAGCCUUUUGAGCCCAAGAGAGCAUGGAACAAAAAGGUAUCAUUCGUUGAUGAAGCAACAAGCUCGGAUUCUAAUGAGGAACCAGUCAUCGGCUUGGCAGAAUGGGUAAAAAAUAAGAAGCCGAUGUCUUGUCCUUUUGGGCACAAGGAGCCAGAAAAGUUCGCGUUUGACAUCACUAAGGCCGAUAGGAUAUUUGACUUUCUACUUCAGGAAGGUCAAAUCAAAUUGUCACCUAAUCAUGUAAUCCCAUCGGCCGAAGAGUUAAAAAGGAUGAAGUACUGUAAAUGGCACAAUGCAACUUCUCACAGCACCAAUGAGUGCAAAGUUUUAAGACAACAGCUGCAAUCGGCUAUAGAGUCUGGAAGGAUCAAAUUUGACAGCCCCAAAACUCAGAAGCUGAUGAAGAUUGAUCAACAUCCUUUCCCAUCAAACAUGCUGGAUGCUAAGGGAAAGGCCAAGGUCUUAACAUCGGAAACAGUUGAAAGAAGUGCAUCGGUGGAUCCUCAGCAUCAGAUCACUACUGCCAAUGCAAAAGGAAAAGGUUUGAUCUAGGAGGGGACUAACUCAGGAAGGCCUUCCCGAUCUGGUAUCAUAAUAACUCACAGAAGGCCUCGGGAAACUUGGCAGCAACGUGAGGAUCGGUAUUGGCGCCAGCAAGAAGAUUAUCAUCGGGAAGAAGAACGGCGCCGACAAGAGUGGAAUCGGCAUAGGGAUCACUGGAAUUGUCCGUUCUUCAUCCAUUGUUGGGAGGAAAAUAUCAAGCUUCCUACUGUCAGAGAUUGUCUUGAAUGCAAUGGUUAUGAUCGGUAUGACAGAUCCGAUCGGCGCUAUCACAAUGACGAUCGGCGGUUUAGUGGGCUGAUUAGGGGGAGAGCGUCCAUUCAUGACCGGCUGGGGGGCAGGCUCAGUGUGCACGACAGGCUCGGCAACCGUGUUGAAUACUUUUCCGGGAACUAGGAAGAGCUUGAAGAGGUGGCUAAUGCACGGGUUCCCGAUGAGUUCAUAUUCUGCAGGGAUGCUAAUACUUAUCGGAUGGAGUCAAGGGAACACCAUCGUCCAUCGCCAAGGCAGCAACAACUCCCUCCAUGGUGUCCAGAAGGGUUGACUAGGACAUAGAAAAGGAGGCUGCAGCGCGAAAGACGAGAAGAGUUAAGCAAGGGCGAGAACUCUGGCCAGUCUAGGGAUCAGCAACAAUCUGAUCCUAAGGGGAGAGGUCUAUCGGCAGAUGUCAACAUGGUAUUUAUGUUGCCGAUGGAGUUCCUUGCACCAUCCAGUGAUGAUGAGUUGGAGUUUUCCGACCAAAUAGCUCAGUUGGCUCUGGAUCCGAUGACCGCCAUCUUUGAAAAGCCUGCCGAUGAUGAGAGGCAACAUCUUAAAGCUCUGUUUGUCAAGGGGAGAGUUGACGGUCAGCCAAUGACCAAGAUUUUAAUUGAUGGUGGAGCCUCUAUCAAUAUCAUGCCAUAUGCAGUGUAUCGGAAGCUUGGAAAAGGGGAUCAGGAUUUGACCAAGACCGAUACGAUGCUCAAAGACUUUGAAGGGAACGUGUCUCCGGUCAAAGGAGCGAUUUGUGUUGAGUUGACCAUCGGCAGUAAAACCUUGCCGACAACAUUCUUCGUGAUCAGUGGAAAGGGUGCUUAUAACUUACUAUUGGGAAGACAUUGGAUUCAUGCCAACUGUUGCAUCCUGUCUACAAUGCACCAAUGCUUGGUUCAGUGGGUAGGCAACAAGAUUGAGAUUGUCCCCGGAGAUUCUUCUUACAUCAUUGCACCGGCAGAGGCAGAUACCUAUGAAAGGACUAGGUGUAUUUCAGGAGAAGUUUGGGAGAAGGAUUUUCUCAAAGUUGCCGAUUAUGAAAUUUCACCGAUCCAAGGAGUCGGUUGUGACGAGGGUUUUUAAUGGAUAGGUUCGCCGAUGAUGGAAAAUUAGGCCAGGGAUUCACAUCGGCCGAUGAUUUAGUAGAAGUAGAUAUAGGUAGUGGUGAUAAGCCUAGACCUACUUUUAUUAGUGCUAAGUUAAAUUCUGAGUGUAAGCAGCAGUUGACUGAUUUGUUAAAGGAAUAUAAAGAUUGCUUUGCUUGGGAUUAUACUGAGAUGCCUGGUUUAGACCGAUCGAUCGUUGAACAUCGGUUACCUAUCAAGUCCAGAUUUCGGCCACAUCAACAGCCAGCUCGCCGAUGUAAUCCUAACAUUCUUCCUGAUAUUUAGGCCGAAAUAACCAAACUUAUUGAAGCCAAAUUUAUUCGGCAGUGUCGUUAUGCCGAGUGGAUUUCCAAUGUGGUGCCAGUUUACAAGAAAAACGGGAAGCUUCGGGUUUGCAUUGAUUUCAGGAAUCUCAAUAAAGCUACGCCGAUGGAUGGCUACCCAAUGCCAGUUGCCGAUCUGCUAGUUGAUGCUGCGGCUGGGCAUCGGAUCAUCAGCUUUAUGGAUGGUAAUGCAGGAUAUAAUCAAAUAUUCAUGGCUGAAGAAGAUAUUCCAAGACUGCAUUUAGAUGCCCUGGUCAUGUUGGGUUAUUUGAAUGGAUAGUCAUGACCUUUGGCUUGAAAAAUGCUGGUGCUACUUAUCAUAGGGCUAUGAAAUUUAUUUUUCAUGAGUUCAUCGGCAAGCUGGUGGAGAUUUAUAUUGACGAUGUGGUGGUUAAAUCUGGGGACUUCACAAAGCAUCUUGCCGAUUUGCGAAAAGUGUUGGAAUGCACAAGGAAGCAUGGUUUAAAGAUGAAUCCCAAAAAGUGUGUGUUUUGUGUAUCGGCAGGACAAUUCCUUGGUUUCAUGGUGCAUGAGAGAGGGAUUGAGAUUAGUCAGAGGUCCAUUGAUGCUAUCAACAGAAUAGUUGCUCCCACCAACAAGACUAAGCUCCAGUCCUUGAUCGGCAAGGUAAACUUUAUCAGGAGGUUUAUAUCUAAUUUAUCUGGUAAAAUUCGUGCUUUUAGUCCUUUGCUUAAGUUGAAAGCCGAUCAAGAGUUUGUCUGGGGGAAGGAGCAACAAUUGGCCUUGGAUGAAAUCAAGAAUUACUUAGUAAAUCCUCCGGUUCUGAUUCCACCUCAGCAAGGGAAGCUCUUUAGAUUGUAUUUGUCUACCGAUGGGGUGGUCAUCGGUUCAGCUUUAAUUCAAGAAUUUGAAGGGAAGGAACGUGCGAUCUACUAUUUAAGCAGAAGAUUGGUUGAUGCUGAGACCAGGUAUUCGGCCAUUGAAAAGUUAUGUUUAUGUCUCUAUUUCUCAUGUACUAAGUUGAGACACUAUUUGUUAUCGGCCGAAUGCACUGUCAUAUGCAAGGAUGAUGUGGUCCGAUAUAUGCUGUCUAUGCCGAUUAUGAGUGGCAGAAUUGGUAAAUCGAUUUUGGCUCUGUCGGAGUUCGAUUUGCGUUACGAAUCGGUUAAAGCAGAUAAGGGACAGAUUAUGGCCGAUUUUGUGACUCAACAUUGCGGUACAGUGGAAACUUUGGAAAUUGUACCUUGGACGCUCUUCUUUGAUGGAUCCACGUGUGACCGGGGGCCGGAAUCGGCAUCGUGUUAAUUUCCCCUCAGGGAAGGAAGUAUGAAUUCUCCUUGCUGAUUGUUGCCACGUCAACAAAUAAUCAAGCUGAGUAUCAAGCUUUGAUAAAAGGGGUUGGAAUUGCUAAGAGAAGUUCGUGCUGAUGCUGUUGAGAUCUUUGGAGAUUCUAUGCUGGUUAUAAAUCAAUUGGCUGGAAGCUAUGAAUGCCGAAGCGAGGUUUUGAUAACUUAUCACGAUAGGAGUAUGCAAUUGUUGAAGGAAUUCAAGGAUUUCCGAUUAGAGCAUGUUCCUCGAUUGCAUAACGAAGAGGCCAAUCAGUUGGCUCAGCAUUCCUCGGGAUAUGAGCCCAUGAUUAAUGCAAUAUUGGCAAUCGGUGCCGAUGAUUGGAGAAAAGAAAUUAUUGAUUAUUCGAGGGAUCCAUCUAAGAAAGCUGAGAGGGUGUUCGGUUUCAAGCCACCAAGUAUGUGUUCCUUGAAGAUGAGUUGUAUUACCGAACUAUUGAUGGGAUUCUUCUCAGAUGCUUAGGUAAUGAUGAGGCUAGGAAUUUGAUAGGAGAGAUCCAUGAGGGAGUGUGUGGAGCACAUCAGUCAGCUUUUAAGAUGAAGUGGAUGAUUAGGAGGAAUGGGUAUUAUUGGGCAACCAAACUUGAGGAUUGCUUUAAAUAUUUCAAGGGGUGUCAAGGAUGUUAGAAAUUUGGCAAUAUUCAAAGAGCACCUGCAUCGGCCAUGAAUCCCAUUAUUAAACCUUGGCCAUUCUGAGGGUGGGCUAUUGACUUGAUCGGCCAGAUUUAUCCACCAUCCAGCAAAGGGCAUAAGUUUAUCUUGGUUGCCACCGAUUAUUUCACCAAAUGGGUUGAAGCUAUUCCUUUGAAGAAAGUUACAUCGGCCAAUAUGAUCGAUUUCAUGAAGGAACAUAUUAUUUACCAAUUUGGAAUUCCUCAAACAAUCACUACCGAUCAGGGUACUAUGUUCACAUCAGGAGAGUUUGAUGAAUUUGCAAUCGGCAUGGGGAUUAAAGUAUUAAAUUCUUCUCCUUAUUACGCUCAAGCUAAUGGGCAGACCGAGGCAUCUAAUAAAGGGAUUAUCAAGCUUAUUAAACGGAAGAUUGAAGAAAAUCCUAGGAGGUGGCAUACAUUGUUAAAUGAAGCUUUAUGGUCAUAUCGGAUGGCUUGUCAUGGAUCAACCAAAGUUUCACCCUAUCAAUUGGUAUAUGGGCAUGAUGCAUUGUUACCUUGGGAAAUGAAGACUGGGUCUAGGCGACUAUCGUUUCAAGAUCAAUUGGCUGCCGAUGAUUAUGCUACUUUGAUGACAGAUGAGUUGGAUGAUCUAGCAGGACAUCGGCUAAGGGCUCUGAUGAGUAUAGAAGAGAAUAAGAAAAGAGUUGCCAGAUGGUAUGAUAAGAAGGUAAAAGCUAAGGAGUUUGCCGAUGGAGAAUUAUUAUGGAAACUAAUCUUACCGAUCGGGACUAAAAGUUCAAAAUUCGGGAAGUGGUCUCCCAAUAGGGAGGGUCCCUAUCGGAUAAGUCGAUCGGCUCCUAGUAACGCUUUUAUUUUAGAAACUCUUAAAGGAGUUGAAUUUCCCAGAGCAUUAAAUGGCAAAUAUCUAAAGAAGUAUUACCCAAGCAUAUGGGUCGAUGCAUGAAAGUUUAAAUGUCGAUAACAUUCCUAUCGGCUAGAUCAAAAUGUAUCUGGGGCCGGACUUAAUGUUUUAAAAGGUGCCAAUAACAGUCCUAUCGGAUUAGACCAAAUACUAGGGUUGUCCAGAAGGAAAGGCCAGAUGUGCCACCGAUGAGGGAUUCACAUGUUCAACAGCGCCUGGAUCACCGAUAUAGCGCGCAGGCGGAUUUGGUUGGCUGCUUCUAUCUCUUUGGUGUCUUCAUCGGCAGAGCCUUCCACUGGCUUCAACUUCUUCUUCAUCUGCAGCGCUCUACGGCCAUGGACAUUUCGCUCUUGUUCAAGGAGUUUGAUCGCUUGAGGCAGCUUGCCUUCCUCUUGUUGAGCUUGAGAUAGGGCUUCCUCUACUUGCUUAAGUUCUGCCAAUAGGGUUUCUCUUCUCACCGAUAGAUCGGAAAUCUUUUGCUUCAAUGCAUCCCCUGAGGACUUUAACAUGCCGAUGUUCUUGUGCUUCUCAUCGGCAAGGAGCUUCACCUUCAUCACCUCUUCAGAAAGCUGGGCAUGAGCAGCUCUAUCGGCAAGACGUUGGGCAGCUCUCUGGUACUACAUCUGACGGCUUUCCAGAUGUGCAGCUUGAAAGAGGAUUUCCUCAGCAUCGGCAGGAAUUUGGCCUCUGAGGGUCUUGAAUAGAGCCUUGGCUGGGUCAGAGUCAUCAACCAGUUAGGCUGUGUCUUGGUGAAGGAGGGCUGAUAAUUCUUCCAAUUUCGCCCUGAUUUCUGCCGAUGUCAUCCCAACUGCCCGAGAAGAGCUUGCUUCCUCACCUUCGUCUUCAGAGAUGUCAAUGGCGAAGGAGAACAGACUAUCGGGAGAAUCCUGUUCCUGAAAGAAGACAAAGUGAGUCAUUCCAUGGUUAAGUAUUGAUGAAUACCGAUGGAGAUCGGAUGGCUUACUUGUUUCAAGGCAAUCUCUUGCCUCUGGCUAGAAGAUGCCGAUGGAACUACAGGUUGAUUGGCUGGGGUUGCCGAUGGGACUAUGUCGGCUGAAAGAAUAACAGAAGUAAUUAUGAGACAGGAAAAAAUGAGUUCAUCGGCAAUAAUUUCAUAAAAAGUAUGUUACCUUGAGGAGAAGCAACACUUGUUUGGAUGGAGGAAACUACCGAUGCUAUGAUUGAACCUGCUGUAUCGGUAGUUUGCUCAUGUAUGUCAGCCGAUGUAUCUUCUGGCUGAGGUCCCUCUGGUUGGAAUUCUUCUACGUGAGCUUCUUCCUGCGGCUGAGGAGAUGGUGCCUAUUGCAUUUGGACUUCUGGAGAGGAGGGGGAAGAUUCUACUAGAAUUAGAGACACUGGGGGAAGAGGAGGUGUUGCUGUCUUCUGGCGCUGUGCUUGUGAUCUGGUGCUCUUAGAGCCUUUCCUCUUUGCUUGGCUAGACUGGGGGCAUCGACACUUAUGCUUUUGGUCCUUGCCGAUGCGAUGGUGUGCUGGUACAGCAAUAAGAGGUUGUGAGUACAAGUGUAAUCAGUAUGAGAAUGGAAUCGGUAAAAGAAUUUGAGGGUUACCUUGAAGGCUUGUGCCAAAGUGGAGGCAGCUACCGAUGGAGAUGUCUUUGUCCGCUUGGUGGUGACUUUCUUGAGGCAUACACCUCGGUGCAUUAUGGCGGCCAGGGUGGGAGCAUUGUUGCUGAUUGAGGAGAUUGGACCUGAUGGAAAAAGAUCAAUCGGCUUGCCACUCCUGCUAACAGAUGGUGGUGUAUCGUCAACCUGUAAUACAACACAGAAAGUAAGUUACCGAUGAAAAUGAGAAUAAAAGGGUUGGAACGUCGGUUUAGAAAUACUUACAGUGUUGUCAGGUAUUUUAUAUUGGGGAUCGAUCAUGCCGCGCUACGUAAGAGCCGAUUUGUAGAACAAAUGCUCCUUCCAUUCUUUCCACCACUGCUUGUACGCCUGAGUAAUGAAGAGGGCCGGAACCCACUCUGAUAAAUCUGCAUCGGUAUCGGCAUUCAGAGGCAGUUUAGCUACCCUGGUCCACUCGAGGAGGCUGGUGAUGGUUUCCCUGGGUUUUAUUACAUCGGCAUAACAGAGUGCAAUCGGCAGCUGGCCGAAAGCUAGUUGACGGGCUAGUGUCGAUGGGUUGUAAAACUCAUAGGUUUGGUUGGAGGUUUUCCCACUGCCAAAGAAGUUUACUGGUAUAGCUCUGGGAAAAAUCAGUGCCAUCAUUACCUCUUGAUCCUUGUUGAGAGCGUCAUUGAACGGAUGGAAAACCAAAGGAAACAUGGUGUCGGGAUCUUCAUAAGGCAUCCAUGCUCACUGUUCUCUGGUCAGGCCUUCGUAUAGGGUCUGGAAGAAUCGGCUGACCUGGUCUGCGUUGCCACCUGUGCGGGGCAAAACUAUAAUAGCCUCGCCAAAGUUUAGAGGAGGACAAGUUGCCGAUUCUUCUUCAUCCAAUUCGUAGUUCUCGGCUAUGUCUCUAGGGAAACGUUGAGUGAAGAGGUUGAACUCAAGAUGCUUGUGCAUAUGGAGGUUAAGCCACAUAUUGAUAAACCACUAGGGGCCCCCUAGGUUGCUGAUGGGAUGGCCGAGCAGGAGUUUUCUGGCCACUUGAUGGAGGAGAUGGUAAGCUGAGCCUUGCAGGUAUCGGCCGAGGGGAAAUCGGCCACCGUUAGCCAAUCUCUCUGCUGCCGAUAGGUAGACAGAGGUUGGUCCUGCUGAUCGACCACAGAAUACAAAUUUAUCCAGCCACAUGUUCAGGAAGGUGGUUUGUUCCUUUAUGUUGACUGGCCCCAUUCUGCGGUACCUCUAAAUGUAUCCUGACCAGCCACCGAUAGCGCGGGUUUCUACUUUGGCACUAGGCGUGGUGUCAAACAGGUGACUGCUAUCGGCAGUGGAUACAUCUAAGCCGGUGAGCAUAAGCACAUCGGCAAGAGUGGGAGAAGCAGGGCCGUGACCAAAGACGAAGGUAUUGAGUGUGUCUGACCAGAAAUAUGAUGUAGCUAUCAGUAGUGACUCAUUCCUAUGCAUAUCGGCAAUGGAUAACCUGAUGCACUGAUCUAGUUUUCGCUCACCCCACUGAACCUCAUUUGAGUGGCUGACUCUCAAGAACCAAUCCUUCCAUCCUACAGUAGGACUCGGCCAGGAACGGAAAGUAUCCUUCCACAGAUCUAGAGAAAAAUUCUCGGCUCUAAAGGGGAUUCUAUUUGUUUCUGCAUUAAUCAGAUCGAUGUGAUCUGGAUUCCCUAGUGGGCCGAGACAUUGAAGGUGCGGCUGAUCGGUAGGGAUGACGAUUUUAUUGGACAGAUCCUAAUGGUUUUUGGGGAGAACAAAAGGAAAAAGUGGAAUGUUCAGUAAAAUAAAUUGCGGAUGAACAAGGAUAUGGUAAAAGUACAAGAGGUGGGGUGAUGAACUGACCUCGUGGACAGCGAAGUUGAUGGCCAUCUCCUUGUAAAGAAGAUGUUCGAAGACUUUGAGGUUGGUGAAGAAAGGCCUUCGUCGGAGUUCUUGGGGCUCUCAAACAGCGCCGCCGCUAGAAAAGUAGAGUUGAGGCUGUGGAAUGAUGUCAUGGAGAAGGAGUACCCGAGAAGGAACUAUUUAUAGGACAAAAUGGGCAAGGGUAAAACCGACUUAUCUCUUCGCCGUAUCCGUGAAAUCGGAGGGUACUCAGGUGGAUAUGGUAACUGUUCGCACGGUAAUCAAGGAAUUGUGCAGAUAAUUUGACAGGAAGCGGUCAUAAUCCGGAGAUAUUUCACUGUGCGGGAUUUCCUGAUCAGUCCAUCUUCAGCGCCUUGUAACGGUAAUAUUGCCGAUGAGCGAAUAAAGUGGAGAUGUCCGUUGGGGAGGUUGAGAUAUUUCAAUAUGCGGGAUUUCCUGGUCAGUCCAUCGGCAGUUCCUUGUAACGGUAAUAUUGCCGAUGGGCGAUUAAGGUGGAGAUGUCCGUUUGGGAGGUUGAGGAAUUCGAGGAAUCUACGGAAGAAUCAGGCCAAGGUUGUUCAGAUUUAGGCUGUCAGUUGUCAAAUUGGAAGCAUUGAUUGCGAAAAGGCAUUAUUACUGCAGAGAAUUUCGGAGCAUUAAUGGUUUCAUACUCCGAAAUUGGGGGCAUGUGUUGACACCGUUUUUGGACACGUACCCAGGAUCGGUAGAGUGUAGAUCGGCAAAAUAGGGCAACGGUAAUUGGUCUGCAGGAGAGUUGCCGAUGGGGGUGGUUGCCGAUGAAGGGAUAGCUGAAUGUGACUAAGUCCAUGGAUGGUGAUGUGUUUAUGCCGAUGGUUAGCAUUAGCCUGUGCCGAUGGCUAUGAUGAAGGGGUUGCCGACGAUCCAGAAGAAGAAGCUGAAGGUUGCCGAUUGGCUUGUGGUGGUUUGACACGGAAGGAUAGUUCUAUUAUUUUUCUUAGUUAUUUAAAUCGUUUUGUAUACGGAUUCUGUUUAAUUUGGAAUUUGAGUUCUAGUCGUGUCUGGUUGUAGCACUUUGAGCAGGGUAUAAAAGUAGACCCUAGGGCCUUGUAAUAAAAAUCAAUCAAUCAAUCAAUCAAACACAAGUUUUACUCGUAUUUCAGCAUCUACUUUCUCGACAACUUCAUCAUAUUUUUCCUUUUUUCAUUAUGAGUACUUCAGAGUUCGUCGACUUAAGCUCGGCGUAUUGUCAAGUUCCGCGUGAAUACCUCUUGGCAGUGGCAUCCGGGCGCAUCGCUGUUAUCGGGACCAAAGUAUUCGAGUUAUCACCUUUGCCGAUAGUAAGGUCCAAUCGGCUGGCACGCCUUAACGUUUGAAUCGGGUAUUAGCCCUUUGUAUUUGCAGAUCUAGCUUUUGCAUCAACAAUUGUGAUAUGCUUUUUCCCUUCAUUCUUCUAGCUUGGAGAGUUGCAUCUUCAUCUUGUCUCCAGCUGCUUCCAAGUCCAUGUUCCAUCUUUUGAUAGCCCAGUGAGCUUUGAAUUUUAUCUCCACUGGUAAGUGACAAGUUUUUCCAUAUACAAGUUGAUAGGGUGACAUCUCGAUGGGUGUCUUGUAUGUUGUCCGGUAUGCCUAGAGUGCAUCAUGAAGCUUGUCCUUCCAAGCUGUCCCAAUAUCAUUUACUGUCUUCUGUAGAAUAUUCUUAAUUUGCUUGUUUGAUGUCUCUGCCUGACCACUUGUCUGAGGAUGGUAAGGAGUAGCAACGUUGUGACGUAUCCCAUGCUUCGACAAGUAUUGCUCAAAGUGCUUGUUGAUGAAGUGAGAACCUCUGUCACUUAUCACUAUCCUUGGAACUCCAAAUCUUGGAAAUAUUAUUUCUUCGAACAUCUUCUUUGAAUGCAUACUAUCAGCAUUCUUGCAUGGCAUGGCUUCAACCCACUUAGAGACAUAAUCCACUGCCACCAGUAUAUACUCAUACUUCUUUGAUGGCGGAAACGGCCCCAUGUAGUCAAUCCCCCAGACAACAAAGAGCUCUAUCUGGAGAUUGUUGAUGAGUGGCAUGGCAUCCUUUGAAUUGAUAUUACCAUGUCUUUGGCAUGGCCCACAUCUCUAAAUAAACUAUCUCGUGUCUUCAUACAUUGCUGGCCAGAAGAAUCCACACUGCCAUAUCUUGGCGUGUGUUCGGAACACCCUAUCAUGGCCUCCAUAUGGUGAUGAAUGACAUCGCUGAAUUAUUUUGAUUCCUUCUUCUACUAGCACACAUCUUCUGAGUAAGUCAUCAGAGCAUACUCAGAAGAGAUAUGGUUCAUCCCAUAUAUGUGAACGACUCUCUUGGAUUAGCUUCCUUUUGUUGCAUCCUGGUGGUACAUAACCUGUAACCAUAAAAUUAACAAUAUCUACAUACCAUGGGUCAGAUCUAUUGAUUUCAUAGAGCAUGUUGUCCCGGAGUGAGUUGUCGAUGGGUACUUCCUGUGGAUUCUCAAAUUGCAUUCUAGACAAAUGAUCGACAAAAGAAUUUUCUACUUCCUUUUUAUCUUUUAUUUCUAAGGCCUUGUUUAGUUCACCCCAAAAACCAAAAAGUUUUCAAGAUUCCCUGUCACAUCGAAUCUUGCGGCACAUGCAUGAAACUUUAUAUAUAGACGAAAAGAAAAACUAAUUACACAGUUUGACUGUAAAUCGCGAGACGAAUCUUUUGAUACUAGUUAGUCUAUAAUUGAACAAUAUUUGCCACAAACAAACGAAAGUGCUACAGUACCGAAAUCCAAAAUUUUUUCGGAACUAAACAAGGCCUAAGUCAAAUUCUUGGAGUAAUAAAAUCCAUCUUAUCAAAUAGGGUUUAGCACCUUUCUUAGUGAGUGUUGACACCGUUUUUGGACACGUGCACAAGGACCAGAGUACAAGAUCGGCAGGUGGAGCAACGGUAACUAGACUGUGGAAGAGUUGCCGAUGAGAAAGGUUGCCGAUGAAGGGACGAUUCAGUAUGACUAAAUCCAGGAGUGGUGGCGCGUUCCUGACCGAGAACCAAUAUCAAGGUUUGCCGAUGGUCAUGGCAGGAAGAUUGCCGAUGACUCCACGGGAGUUGCCGAUUGACCCAUGGCGGUGUACUGGUCGGUUACAAGGGGAUAGUUUUAUGUUUUCCUUAGUUAUUUAAGUUCGUUUUGUAUACGGAUUCUGUUUAGUAUGGAAUAUGAGUCCUAGUCGUGUCUGAUUGUAACUCUUUGAGUAGGGUAUAAAUGACCCUAGGGCCUUGUAAUGAGAGAUUGAUCAAUCAAUCAAACACAAGUUUUUACUCAUAUUCUAGCAUCUACUUUUUUUGACGAUUUCGUCAUAUUUUCUUUUUCAUUACGAGUUCUUAGGAGUUCGUCGACUUAAGCUCGGCUUAUUCUCGAGUUCCAUGUGAAUACCUCUUGGCCGUGGCAUUCGGGCGCAUUGCUGUUGUCGGGACCAAAGUAUUCGAGUUAUCACCUUUGCCGAUAGUUAGGUCAAAUCGGCUGGCAUGCCUUAACGUUUCAAUCACGUAUUAGCCCUUUGUGUUUGCAGAUCCACUCUUUGCAUCAACACAUCUUUUGGCACGCCCGGUGGGACACUAUUCAAGAUCAAGAUCGACAUGUCGACUACUGAGUUCGAUCAGGAGAACGUCAUCCCUAUGACGGAAGCCAAUCUCAACGAUGAGCAGAAGCAAGCUAUUGCAAAAGCCAUGGAGGAUUACAAGCAGCAAUGUUUGAGAUCCUUCAGCAUCAAUAGGAGUGGUGAGGUGAUCCAGAAAGAAGCACUGCCGACCCCUCGGCAGGUUACUUUUGAAGCCAAUCCUGGUAAACUCCAAGACAUGGUCGAUAAUGCUAUCAACUGUGCUUUGAUCAACCAAGCUGGUGUGCUGUCCAAUACGGUUUUCAAUGCCGUGGCUAGAACUUUCAAAGAAGGACAAUUGCCACCGAACUAUGUGGGCCCUGUCUAUCAUCAGCAAGGAUCACCGGUGGUCACAGCUCCAUCGGCUGGAGCGGCCACUGCGGGCACAGAAACCACUGUCCCUCCAAGCACGCUAGGAGUCACUAACGCGCAAUCGACGCCGAUGACGACCAAUCCAUCGACUUUAGAUUGGUAGAUCAAGCUUGCUACAGAUCUAUUGGCAUCGGCGAUGUCGGGAUCGAUCCCUCCUCCUAACUGGUGGGGUUAUGGUAUGCCCCCAGAGCUGACAUUGAAGACACCUAGUACAUCUCAGAUGGCUCAUGUGGGAGGCAAGGCUCUUAUGGCAUCGGCAGCUCCAAAUUUGCCGAUGAAUCAGAGUCCCCAGUAUACUACAACCACUACUGCGAGGCCUUACACUGGGAAUUCUCAAGCUCCAAUGUUCCAGAUGCCUAAUGCAUCGGUAGAUUCAAUGCCGACGCAGCAGAGAUUUAUGGCUCAAUCAGGAUAUGUCAAUUCAAUGAUGAUCCCCAAUUACCAGACAUCGGCAGGGUCUAUGCCGAUGAAUGCUAAUAGUGGAUGGCCUGAGCAGCAAGUCUUCCCACAAAUGCCCCAACAGAAUCAUCAGGCUACAGGGUUCCAACAAGGCCAUAUCUACCCUUGAUUCCAGAAUCAGGGGUUGGUCAACCAGCCGAUGAAUCUCGGUGCUCAGCAGUUUGGUGGUCAACAGAUCGGUGGUGAGCAAAUUGGUGGCCAGAUGAUUAACCCAAUGUUCCAUGCAGAUAACGCACCACAUAGACAAGUGGAAGCAUAUCAGCAGGUCCCAGAUCUGCAACCACCUCAUCGGCAAGAUGCCAAUGCUCAUUGGACCGAUAAGAUUGCCGAAGUAAUGAGAGACCAAUUUGGGAUAAAACCCAAAGCGAACACUUAUUCUUAUCGGACACCGUAUCCUCCUGCGUAUGAUUUAAUCCCACUACCAAAUUGGUACAAGGUACCAGAUUUCACCAAGUUUUCUAGACAGGAUGAUACAUCAACCAUGGAGCAUGUCAACAGGUUCGUCAUCCAAUGUGGACAAGCUGCUAGCAGGGACGAGUUAAGGGUUCGCUUGUUCUCGUCAUCAUUAUCUGGAUCGGCUUUCACUUGGUUUAUAUCAUUACCUCCCAACUCAGUGAAUACUUGGGCCGAUCUAGAGAAGCAAUUCCACAAAUACUUCUUUUCUGGAGUCCAUGAGAAGAAGAUCACCGAUUUGGUCAAAUGGAAGCAACGCAAUGAUGAAUCGGUUGAGAGUUUUGUGUAGAGGAUACGGGAGGUCAAGAACAAAUGCUAUAGUCUGGUUUUGGACGAUCGGCAGCUCGUCGAUUUGGCUUUCCAGUGUUUGUUGCCACACAUCAGAGACAAGUAUGCAUCUCAAGAGUUCGAGAGCUUAAGUCAUUUGGUGCAGAGAAUUUCUGAUCAAGAUAUCAGGCCUUUUGAGCCCAAGAGAGCAUGGAACAAAAAGGUAUCAUUUGUGGAUAAAGCAGCAAGCUCGGACUCGGAUGAGGAACCAGUCAUCGGCGUGGCAGAAUGGGUAAAGAAUAAGAAGCCGAUGUCUUGCCCUUUUGGGCAUAAAGAGCCAGAGAAGUUUGUGUUUGACAUCACUAAAGCCGAUAGGAUAUUUGACUUUCUACUUCAAGAAGGGCAAAUCAAGUUGUCACCCAAUCAUGUGAUUCCAUCGGUUGAAGAGUUGAAGAAUAUGAAGUACUGCAAGUGGCACAAUGCAAGUUCUCACAGCACCAAUGAGUGCAAAGUUUUCAGGCAACAGCUUCAAUCGGCUAUUGAAUUUGGGAGGAUCAAAUUUGAUAGUUCCAAACCCCAGAAGCCAAUGAAGAUAGAUCAACACCCUUUUCCGUCGAAUAUGUUGGAUGCCAAAGGGAAAACUAAGGUGUUGGCAUCGGAAGCAGCUAAAAGAAGUGCAUCUGUAGAACCUCAGCAUCAAAUUACUGCCGCCGAUGCCAAAGGAAAAGGCUUAAUCCAGAAGGAAAUUGCUCAGGAAGGCCUCCCCAAUCUGGCAUUGUGAUAACUCAUAGAAGGCCUCGGGAGACUUGGCUGCAACGUGAGGAUCGGUAUCGACGCCAGCAAGAAGACUAUCAUCGGGAAGUAGAAAGACACUGACAAGAGUGGAAUCGACACAGAGAUCAUUGGAAUUGCCCGUUUUUCAUCCAUUGCUGGGAACAAAAUAUUAAAUUGCCUACUGUUAGAGAUUGCCCUGAAUGUAAUGGUUAUGAUCAGUAUGACAGAUCCGAUCGGCGCUAUCACGAUGAUAAUCGGCGAUUCAAUGGGCCGAUUAGGGAGAGGACGUCAGUUCAUGAUCGGCUGGGGGGCAGGCUCAGUGUGCUUGACAGGUUUGGUGAUCGUGUUGGAUAUUUUCCUAGGAAUCGGGAAGAGCUUGAAGAAAUGGCUAAUGCACGAGUUCCCGAUGAGUUCAUAUUUUGCAGGGACGCCAAUACACAUCGGAUGGAGUCAAGGGAAUAUCAUCGUCCAUCGGCAAGGCGGUCACCACUUCCCCCGUGGUGUCAAGAGGGGUUGACUAAAACACUGAAGAGGAGAUUGCAACAAGAAAGACGAGAAGAGAUAAGUAAGGGCGAGAACUCUGGCCAAUCUGGGGAUCAACAACAAUCAGAUCCUAAGGGGAAAGGGCCAUCGGCAGAUGUUAACAUGGUAUUUAUGUUGCCGAUGCAAUUCCUUGCGCCGUCCAGCGAUGAUGAGGAGUUGGAGUUUUUCGACCUGAUAGCUCAGUUGGCUCUAGAUCCGAUGACGGCUAUCUUUGAAAAGCCUGCCGAUAAUGAGAGGCACCAUCUUAAAGCCCUGUUCGUCAAAUUGAGAGUUGAUGGUUAGCCAAUGACCAAGAUAUUGAUUGAUGGUGGAGUUGCUAUCAACAUUAUGCCAUAUGCAGUCUAUCGGAAGCUUGGAAAAGGAGAUCAAGAUUUGACCAAGACCGAUAUGAUGCUGAAGGACUUCGAAGGGAACGUAUCUCCGGUUAAGGGAGCCAUCUGUGUUGGGUUGACCAUCGGCAGCAAAACCUUGCCGACAACUUUCUUCGUGAUCAGCGGAAAAGGUGCUUAUAAUUUAGUGCUAGGGAGAGAUUGAAUUCACGCCAAUUGUUGCAUUCCAUCAACAAUGCACCAAUGCUUGGUCCAGUGGGUAGGUGACAAGAUCGAAAUUGUCCCGGGAGAUUCUUCCUAUGUUAUUGCAUCGGCAGAGGCAGACACCUAUGAAAGAACUAGGUGUAUUUCAGGAUAAGUGUGGGAAAAAGAUUUCCUCAAAGUCGCCGAUUAUGAAAUUCCACCGAUCCAAGCAGUCGGUUCUGAUGAAGAGUUUUAAUGGAUAGGUUCGCUGAUGAUGGAAAAUUGGGCCAGGGAUUCACAUCGGCCGAUGAUUUGAUAGAAUUAGAUAUAGGUAGUGGUGAUAAGCCUAGACCUACUUUUAUUAGUGCUAAGUUAAAUUCUGAGUGUAAACAGCAGUUAACCAAUUUGUUAAAGGAAUAUAAAGAUUGCUUUGCUUGGGAUUAUACUGAGAUGCCUGGUUUAGACCGAUCAAUUGUUGAACAUCGGUUGUCUAUCAAGUCUGGAUUUCGGCCACAUCAGCAGCCAGCUCGCCGAUGCAAUCCUAAUAAUCUUCCUGAUAUCAAGGCCGAAAUAACCAAGCUUAUUGAAUCUAAAUUUAUUCGGCAGUGUCGAUAUGCCGAGUGGAUUUCCAAUGUUGUUUCAGUCUACAAGAAAAAUGGGAAGCUUCGGUUUGCAUUGAUUUCAGGAAUCUUAAUAAAGCUACACCGAUGGAUGGCUACCCAAUGCCAGUUGCCGAUCUGCUAGUUGAUGCUGCGGCUGGGCAUCGGAUUAUUAGCUUUAUGGAUGGUAAUGUAGGAUACAAUCAAAUAUUCAUGGCUGAAGAAGAUAUUCCGAAGACAGCAUUUAGGUGUCCUGGUCAUGUUGGGUUGUUUGAAUGGAUAGUCAUGACCUUUGGUUUGAAAAAUGCUGGUGCUACUUAUCAGCGGGCCAUGAAUUUUAUCUUUCAUGAGUUCAUCGGCAAGCUGGUGGAAAUUUAUAUUGAUGAUGUGGUGGUUAAAUCUGGAGAUUUCACAAAGCAUCUUGCCGAUUUGCGAAAGGUGUUAUCAUGCACAAGGAAACAUGGUUUAAAGAUGAAUCCCAAUAAGUGUGCAUUUGGUGUGUCGGCAGGACAAUUCUUUGUUUCAUGGUGCAUCAAAGAGGGAUUGAAAUUAGUAGGAGAUCUAUUGAAGCUAUCAAUAAAAUAGUUGCUCCUACCAACAAGACUGAGCUCCAAUCCUUGAUCGGCCAGGUAAAUUUUAUCAGGAGGUUUAUUUCUAAUUUGUCUGGUAAAAUUCGUGCUUUCAGUCCUUUACUUAAAUUGAAAGCCGAUCAAGAGUUCGUCUAGAGGAAAGAGCAACAAUUGGCCUUAGAUGAAAUCAAGAAUUAUUUGGUAAAUCCUCCGGUUCUGAUUCCACCUCAGCAAGGAAAGCCCUUCAGAAUGUAUUUAUCUACCGAUGGGAUGGUCAUCGGUUCCGCUUUGAUUCAAGAAUUUGAAGGGAAGGAGCGUGUAAUUUACUAUUUAAGCAGAAGGCUGAUUGAUGCUGAGACCAGGUAUUUGGAUAUUGAGAAACUCUGCUUAUGUUUGUACUUUUCCUGUAUUAAGUUAAGACAUUAUUUGCUAUCGGCCGAAUGCAUUGUUAUUUGCAAAGAUGAUGUGGUCCGAUACAUGCUAUCUAUGUCAAUCAUGAGUGGCAGAAUCAGUAAGUGGAUUUUGGCACUGUCAGAAUUCGAUCUGCGUUACGAAACGGCUAAAGCGGUUAAAGGACAGAUUAUGGCCGAUUUUGUGACUCAACAUUGUGGUGCAGUGGAGACUUUGGAAAUUGUACCUUGGACGCUCUUCUUUGAUGGAUCCACGUGUGACCGGGGGCAGGAAUCGGCAUAGUACUAAUUUCCCCUCGGGGAAGGAAAUAUGAGUUCUCCUUGCCGAUUGUUGCCACAUCAACGAAUAAUCAAGCCGAAUAUCAAACUUUGAUAAAAGGGUUGGAAUUAUUAAGGGAGGUUCAUGCUGAUGCUGUUGAAGUCUUCGGAGAUUCUAUGCUGGUUAUAAAUCAAUUGGCUAGAAGCUAUGAGUGCCGAAGCAGAGUCCUGAUAACUUAUCACGAAAGGAGUAUGCAAUUAUUAAAGGAAUUCAAAGAUUUCCGGUUGGAGCAUGUUCCUCGGUUGCAUAAUGAAGAGGCUAAUCGGUUAGCUCAGCAUGCCUCGGGAUAUUAACCUAUGUUAAACGUAAUAUCGGCAAUCAGUGCCAUUGAUUGGAGGAAAGAAAUCAUCGAUUAUUUAAAGGAUCCGUCCAAAAAAGUUGAAAGACAUAUUCGGUUUCAGGCCACCAAGUAUGUGCUCCUUGAAGAUGAAUUAUAUUAUCAAACUAUUGAUGGGGUUCUUCUCAAAUGCUUAGGUGAUGAUGAGGCUAAAAGUUUAAUGGGAGAAAUCCAUGAAGGAGUAUGUGGAGCACAUCAGUCCGCAUUUAAGAUGAAAUGGAUGAUUAGGGGGAACGGAUAUUAUUGGCCAACCAUACUUGAAGAUUGCUUUAAAUAUUUCAAGGGGUGUCAAGGAUGUCAGAAGUUUGGCAAUGUUCAAAGAGCACUCGCAUCGGCCAUGAAUCCCAUUAUUAAGCCUUGGCCGUUCCGGGGAUGGGCUAUUGACUUGAUCGGCCAGAUUUAUCCGCCAUCCAGCAAAGGACAUAAAUUCAUCUUGGUUGCCACUGAUUAUUUUACUAAGUGGGUUGAAGCUAUUCCUUUGAAAAAAGUUACAUCGGCCGAUAUGAUUGAUUUCAUGAAAGAACAUAUUAUUUACCGAUUUGGAAUUCCUCAAAGAAUUACUACCGAUCAGGGUACUAUGUCUACAUCAGGGGAGUUUGAUGAAUUUCCAAUCGGUAUGAGAAUUAAAGUAUUAAAUUCUUCUCCUUAUUAUGCUCAAGCUAAUGGGCAGGCCAAGGCAUCUAACAAAGGAAUUAUCAAGCUUAUUAGAUGGAAGAUUGAAGAAAAUCCUAGGAGGUGGCAUACAUUGUUAAAUGAAGCUUUAUGGUCAUAUCGGAUGGCUUGUCAUGGGUCGACCAAAGUUUCACCUUAUCAGUUGGUGUAUAGACAUGAUGCAGUGUUACCUUGGGAAAUUAAGACUGGGUCUAGACGACUGUCUUUUCAAGAUCAAUUGGCUGCCGAUGAUUAUACUACUUUGAUGACAGAUGAGUUGGAUGAUCUAGUAGGGCAUCGACUAAGGGCUUUGAUGAGUAUAGAAGAGAAUAAAAAGAGAGUUGCCAGAUGGUAUGAUAAGAAGGUAAAAGCCAAGGAGCUUGAUGAUGGAGACUUAGUAUGGAAGCUAAUCUUACCGAUCGGGACUAAAAGUUCAAAAUUUGUGAAGUGGUCUCCCAAUUGGGAGGGUCCCUAUCGGAUAAGUCGAUCGGCUCCUGGUAACGCCUAUAUUUUAGAAACUCUCGAAGGACUUGAAUUUCCCAGAGCAUUAAAUGGAAAAUAUCUAAAGAAGUAUUACCUAAGCAUAUGGGUCGGCGCAUAAAAGUUUAAGUGCCGAUAACAUUCCUAUCGGUUGGAUCAAAAUGUAUCUGGGGACGGACUUAAUGUUCUAAAAGGAUGCCGAUAACAGUCCUAUCGGCUGCACCAAAAUGACUAGAAGAAAGAAAUAAAGCACGCCGCCGAUGAAGAGUUCACAUGUCUAACAGAGCCUGGAUGGUUGAUAUGGCGCGCAGACAGAUUUGGUUGGCUUCUUCUAUCUCUUUGAUGUCUUCAUCGGCAGAGCCUUCCACCGGCUUCAGCUUCUUCUUCAUUUGCAUUGCUUUGCGAGCUUGGAUAUUUCGUUCUUGCUCAAGGGUCUUGAUCAUCUCGGGCAGCUGGCUUUCUUCCUGUUGAGCUUGAGAUAGAGCUUCUUCUACUUGUUUGAGUUCUGCUAGCAAGGCAUCUCUCUUUGCCGAUAGAUCAGAGACCUUUUGCUUCAGCACAUCUCCUGAGGAUUUUAGAAUGCCGAUGCUCUUAUGCUUCUCAUCGGCAAGGAGUUUCACUUUCAUCAUUUCCUCUGAAAGCUGAGCAUGGGUAGCUCUAUCAGCAAGACGCUGAGCAGCCUUUUGAUACUGCAGCUGACAACUCUCUAGGUGUGCAGCCCGAAAAAGGAUCUCCUCGGCAUCGGCCGGAAUUUGUCCUCUAAGAGUCUUGAACAGAGCCUUGGCUGAGUCAGAGUCAUCGACCAAUUGUGUUGUGUCUUGAUGGAGAAGAGCUGAUAGAUCUGUCAGCUUUGCUUUGAUCUCUGCCGAUGAGAUUCCAACUGCUCGAGAUGAACUUGCUUCCUCGCCUUCAUCCUCAGAGAUCUCAAUGGCGAAGGAGAACAGGCUAUCGGGACAAUCCUGUUCCUGGAAGAGAAAAGAUAAAAUGGGUUAUUUGUGAUCAAGCACGAGCAGUGAUAAGAAUGGAGUUUGGGUAACUUACUUGCUUCAGAGCUAUUUCUUGCCUCUGACUAGUGGAGGCCGAUGGAACUACGGGCUGAUCAGUUGAAAUUGCCGAUGAGACUAUGUCAAGAAUCACAGAAGUAAUUAUAAGUUGGAAAAGUAGGUUCAUCGGCGAUGAUUUCAUGGAGAAUAUGUUACCUUGAGGGGGUGCAGUGCUUGUCUGGAUCGAGGAAACUACCGAUGCUAUGAUUAAGCUUGCUGGAUCGGUAGUCUGCUCGCGCACAUCAGCCAAUGUUUCUUCCGGCUGAGGUACUUCUGGCUGGGGUUCUUCUGGUUGGAGUUCUUCCACUUGGGGUGCUUCUUGUGGCUGAGAAGGAGAUGGUACCUGCUGUGUCUGGGUUUCUGGAGAAGAGGGAGAAGAUUCCACCGGGAUCGGUGACUUUGGAGGAGGGGAAGGUGUUGCUGUCCUCUGGCGCUUUCCUUGUGAUCUGGUGCUCUUAGAGCCUUUCCUCUUCGGUUGACUGGACUAGGGGGCAUCUGCAAUCAUACUUCUGGUCUUUGCCGAUGUACUAGUGUGCUGGUACAGCAGUAAGAAGUUUGUGAGUACAAGUAUGAUAAGUAUAAGAAUGAAAUCGGUGUGAAUAAGAGAAAUCGAAGGUUCACCUUGAAGGCUUGUGCCAAAGUAGAGGCUGCUACCGACGGGGACGUUUUCGUCCGCUUGGUGGUAACUUUCUUGAGGCACACACCUCGAUGCAUUAUAGCAGCCAAGGUGGGAGCAUUGUUGCCGAUCGAGGAGAUCGAACCUGAUGGAAAAAGCUCAAUCGGCUUGCCACUACUGCUGACCGAUGGUGGUGUAUCGUCAACCUGCAUGUGACAAAGAAAGGGGUUUACCGAUUGAAAACGACAGUGAAGAAAUUAAAACAUCGGUAUUGAGAUACUUACAGCAUUAUCAGGGACUUUGUACUCGGGAUCAAUCAUGCCACGGUAUGUGAGAGCCGAUCUGCAAAACAGAUGUUCCUUCCAUUCUUCCCACCAUUGUUUAUAUGCCUGAGUGAUGAAGAGAGCUGGAACCCAAGCCGAUAGAUCAACGUUUGUAUCGGCAUUCGGUGGGAGUUGGGCUACUCUAAUCCACUCAAGACAGUUGGUGAUGGUCUCCCUUGGCUUUAUCACAUCGGCGUAGCAGAGUGCAAUCGACAUUUGGCCAAAAGCUAGUUGACGAGCUAGUGCCGAUGGGUUGUAGAAUUCAUAGGUCUGGACAGAAGCUUUUCCACCACCAAAGAAGUUAACUGGUAUGGCUCUUGGGGUGAUGAUUGCCAUCAUCACAUCGUGAUCCUUGUUGAGAGCAUCAUUGAACGGAUGGAAGACCAAAGGAAAUCUGGUGUCCGGAUCUUCAUAAGGCAUCCAUGCUCACUGAUCUCUGGUCAGACCCUCGUACAGAGUCUGAAAGAAUCGGCUCACCUGGUCUGCGUUACCACCUGUGCCAGGCAAAACUAUGGCAGCCUCACCAAAGUUCAGAGGAGGACGAGUUGCCGAUUCUUCUUCAUCUAGUUCAUAAUCCUCAACUAUAUCCCAUGGGAAGCGCUGUGCGAUGAGGUCAAACCCAAGGCGCUUAUGCAUGUGGAGGCUAAGCCACAUAUUGAUGAACCACCAGGGACCCCCUAAGUUGCCGAUGGAUUGGCCGAGCAGGAGUUUCCUGGUUACUUGGUGAAGGAGGUGGUAAGCUGAACCGAGCAAGUAUCGGCCACCAUUAGCUAAUCUUUCUGCUGCUGCUAAGUAGACAGAAGUUGGUCGUGUCGAUCGGCCACAAAACACAAAUUUAUCCAACCACAUGUUCAGGAAGGUGGUCUGUUCCUUUAUGUUAACAGGGCAUGUUCGUUGGUAUUUUUUUAUGUACCCUGACCAACCACCGAUAGAACGAGUUUCUACCUUAGCACUAGGUUUGGUGGCAAAAAAGUGGGUGCUAUCGGUAGAAGAUACAUCUAAACCAGUGAGCAUAAGCACAUCGGCAAGUGUGGGGGAAGCAGGAUCAUGGCCGAACAUAAAAGCAUUGAGUGUGUCUGACCGGAAAUACGAUGCAGCAAUCAACAAUGAUUCAUUCCUAUCCAUAUCGGCAAGGGACAACCUGAUGCAUUUAUCCAGUUUUCGCUCACCCCACUGAACCUCAUUUGUGUUACGGACUCUCAGAAACCAAUCCUUCCAUCCCUUGGUAGGACUGGGCCAGGAAUGGAAAGCAUCCUUCCAUAGAUCUAAAGAAAAAUUCUCGGCCCUAAAGGGGAUUCUGUUGGUCUCUGCGUUGAUCAGAUCGGUAGGAUCUGGGUUCCCUAGCGGACCGAGACAUUGGAGGUGUGGUUGAUCGGUAGGGAUGACGAUUCUAUUGGACAGAUCCUAGAAGUUUUUGGGUAAAAAAGGAGAAAGAAAAGAAGAGCAAAAGGAAGGAAAAAAGCAUUCAGUAAGAUGAACUGCGGAUGAACAGGAGUGCCAUAAAAAUACAGGAGAGAAGUAGAACUGACCUCAGGCACGAUGAAGUUGACAGCCAUUUUCUCGUAGGGAACAAGAUUGGAGACUCGAAGAUUGUUGGAGGGAGUUCUUGUUGGAGUUCUUGGAGCUAUCGAACAGUGCCGCCACUAGAAAAUUAGAGAUGGGGUUGUAGAAUGAUGCGAUGGAGAAGGAGUACCCGAGAAGGAAGUAUUUAUAGGACAAAACGGGCAGGGGCAGAUCUGACUUAUCUCUUUGCUGCAUCCGUGAAACCCGAGGGUGCUCAUGUAGAUAUGGUAACUGUUCGCACGGUAAUCAAGGGAUUGUGCAGGUGAUUUGACAGGAAGCGGUCAUGAUGUGGAGAUAUUUCACUAUGCGGGAUUUCCUGGUCGGUCCAUCGGCAGCUUCCCCCAACGGUAAUAUUGCCGAUGGGCGAAUAAAGUGGAGAUGUCCAGUUUGGGAGGUUGAGGAAUUCGAGGAAUCUGUAGAAGAAUCGGGCCAGAGUCGGUCGGUUACCAAAUUGGGAGGAUUAAUUGCAGAAAGGCAUCAUUAAUGUAGAGAAUUUCGGAGCAUUAAGGAUUUCAUACUCCGAAACUGGGGGGCAUGUGUUGACACCGUUUUUGGACACGUGCACAAGGACCAGUAGAGUACAAGAUCGGCAGGUGGAGCAACGGUAACUAGACUGUGGAAGAGUUGCCGAUGAGGAAGGUUGCUGAUGAAGGGACGAUUGAGUAUGACUAAGUCCAGGAGUGGUGGCGCGUUCCUGACCGAGAACCAAUAUCAAGGUUUGCCGAUGGUGAUGGCAGGAAGAUUGUCGAUGACUCCGUGGGAGUUGUCGAUUGACCCGUGGCGGUGUACUGGUCGGUUACAAGGGGAUAGUUUUAUGUUUUCCUUAGUUAUUUAAGUUCGUUUUGUAUACGGAUUCUGUUUAGUAUGGAAUACGAGUCCUAGUCGUGUCUGAUUGUAACUCUUUGAGCAGGGUAUAAAUGUAGACCCUAGGGCCUUGUAAUGAGAGAUCGAUCAAUCAAUCAAACACAAGUUUUUACUCAUAUUCUAACAUCUACUUUUUUCAACAAAUUCGUCAUAUUUUCUUUUUCAUUAUGAGUUCUUAGGAGUUCGUCGACUUAAGCUCGGCGUAUUCUCGAGUUCUGUGUGAAUACCUCUUGGCCGUGGCAUCCAGGCGCAUCGCUGUUGUCGGGACCAAAGUAUUCGAGUUAUCACCUUUGCCGAUAGUAAGGUCAAAUCGGCUGGCACGCCUUAACGUUUGAAUCGGGUAUUAGCCCUUUGUGUUUGCAGAUCCACUCUUUGCAUCAACAGUGAGCAAGUAUUUUAAAGCAACAUGAUUAGAAUAAAUAAUUACUUUAGCUCCCACUAAGUAAUAUCUAACUUAUCAAUAGCAAAAACAACAACUAGGAGCUCUUUUCAGUAGUAGCGUAAUAAAGAUGAGGUCCUAUCAAAGUUUUGCUAGCAUAACCAAUUGCAUGAUGCUUUUUAUCUUUAAUUUGUCCUAAUACUGCCCCCACAGCAUAAUCACUAACAUCAUACAUAAUUUCAAAAGGUAAAGACCAAUCAAGGGGUUGAAUGAUUGAUGCUGAGAUGAGUGUUUUUUUUAAGAAAUUCAAAAGCUUGUAAACAUGCAUCAUCAAAUUCAAAAGGAACAUCAAUGCCUCUUUUAGACACUAAGUGUCCUAGCACUAUUCCUUCUCUAACCAUAAAAUGACAUUUUUCCCAAUUAAGGACUAAGUGCUUUUCUUCACACCUUUGCAAAACCUUAUCUAAGUUUUCUAGACAAUCAUCAAAGUUUUUCCCGUAAACAUAAAAAUCAUCCAUGAAAACUUCAAAAAUCUUUUCAAUCAUAUCAAAAAAUAUAGACAUCGUACAUCUUUGAAAAGAAGCAGGUGCAUUACAUAACCCAGAAGACAUUCUACGAUAAGCAUUGGUUCCAUAGGGACAUGUAAAAGUGGUUUUGCUUUGGAAAUUAGGAUAGAUAGGGAUUUGGGGAUACCCUGAAUAUCCAUCUAAGAAACAAAAGAUGGAAUGCUUGGCUAACCGCUCUAGCAUCUCAUCAAUGGAAGGCAAUGGAAAGUGAUCUUUCUUAGUUGCCUUGUUAAGUUUUCUUAGUUGCCUCCAUCUUGUGAUAGUGCGUUGAGGGAUUAACUCAUUCCUCUUAUUUUGGACAAUAGUCAUACCUCCCUUUUUUGGUACAACUUGAACAGGGCUUACCCACUCACUAUGCGACACAGCAUAAAUGAUGUCUGCAUGCAAUAGUUUUAAAACUUCCUUCUUUACAACCUCUCUCAUCGCAUUGUUGAGUCUACGUUGAGGUUCUCUAGAUGGUGGGAUAUUAGGAUCUAUAGGAAUGCGAUGGGUGCAAAGAGCAAGAAAAAUUCCUUUGAGGUCCUGGAGUGAGUAGCCAAAUAUUGAGUGAUGUUUUUCUAGGACUGGCAUUAGAUGAAGAAUCUGCUCCUGAGUGGGUUUAUCACUUAUAAAUAGAGGAGACUCUAGAUCGUCACCUAGAAAAGCAUAUCCAAGACGAUAAAGGUUUAAGCACAAUAGGAGGUUUAGGUGGUACUGCAAACUCAUCUAAACGUUCUUCAUCAGAAGGGUCAGCUUCUUCUUAAAUGAAGAAUCUAGCUUCAUCUUCUAAUCCUGGUUUGGCUAAAAAGUCUAAGGAUGCAGCUCUAAAUUCCUCCAGCGGGUCUUCUUGUGGAUAAGGUUCGGUCCUAGACUUUAAAGAAUGUGAGAUGGACAAUGGGAAUUGAAGUUUCUUGCCUAAGCGAAUUUUUAGCUUCGCAGAUUGUCCUUCAUAGAGAAGCCGCCUAAAAGGUUGUCAUAUCAACAGGUCGAAGUCCCAUAUGUCAAAGAUAUAAAAGCUUAAAUGCAUAGUGGUUCCUUCUACCUGGCUGGGUAGGAUGUGUAGGAUUCCUAAACUAGAGAUAAUAUAUCCUGAGAGACUUCUCAUGAAUAUUAUUGUUGGGAUUAAUGACAUGUCUUGUAUUAAGUGUUCUGCAAUUGACAUAGACAUGAUAUUUAUCCCUACAACUGUAUUAUAGAGAGCUUUUAUUUGAUCUAUAUUAAUUAUGCAAUUAAUUGGAAUAGAAGAUGAAUCUAAACGGAUUAUUUUAGUGGAAAGCUCUGAUUUUUCUAACCAUCCAUUAAUUAUAACAGAUACUAAUUCUCCUGACAUUCUUCGAGAAGUAAUAUCCUUAGGGAAAUCAAAAGACUCUCUAGAGUUUCUCUAUGGCCUCUUCAUAGAGUGAUAAUUCAAAACAUUUCCAAAUUCAAAAAAGAGAUCAGGUUCUAUGUCUAGCAUAAAAUUGGAAACGGAAUUUCUUCUUUUUCUUGCUCUAGACAUGUGUUAGCUGAAGUAGAUGGUGUGUUUGGCAAAGGGUUGGUUUCAGCUAAUUGGGGUUGAGGCUCUACAUUGAGGAGGUAAUCUAAUUCAGUGGAUAAGAUUUGGUCUAGGAUUAAUCUUGCUUUCUCAGAAGAGACAUGCAAGAAAGAUCCUCUUGAUGUAGUGUCGAGUAGAUACCUACGCUCUAAAAGCCCAAGUUUGGUUUUGGUAAUUAAUGACACCAAGUUGCUAAUGCCUUGUGUUUAAGUGAUUUGAGUUAGGCAUAGCAACACAUGUGAUGAAGGUGCAUGGUGGCAUGGAAAGGUGGCCACAUGAUCACAUAGGGAAGAAGCAUGAAGUGGAGAUCAUCGUGAUAGACGAGGAGCAAAGUUAUCAAGGCAAAGCUAUAAACAUAGGGUUUUACUUUUGCCGGUCUAAGAUGAGUAGAGAAGUGAUUGACCGGGUUUAGGAUAGAUAGCUGACUAUCAAGAGGGGAAAUCACGGUUAUCUCUCGAAUCAAGUGCUACCAGGUCCAUAUCUUGAGCAUAUGCAUUAGGAUCUAGUAAAAUGCUAACCUAACUCCUUUGGGAAAUUGUUUGUGAAAAGCUAACACACAUGCACUUUGGUGGUGGACACUUGUUGGUGUUAGCACAUUUGCAAAGGAGAGAAAAAUAAGUGUAUAUUUUCUAUUGCGCCGAUGGGAAAUUUGGAGAAGUCGUGGGAGUGUUUUCUCACUGAGAAACACUCACCGGACGCUGAGUGCGGAGGCACCGGACGCUGGCCUCAGAGUCCGGUGUGCUUAACCCUGCUAGGGUUGAACACCAGACGCGCUCUGAGAGCAUCCAGUGGUUAGCGUCCGGUGUGGAGGCGUUUUGCAACCCUCUCUGUGUUUUAGUCUGGUGGCUCACGUCCGGUGACUCAGCAAGUUUGCGGAACUCUCUGCGCAUGAGUCCGGUGUGCACCGGACGCAUCCGGUGUGGACCUGCAGAGCGUCCGAUGGUCCGCAGGUGACCGUUAGAAUCUGACACGCGAGAUCCAUAAAAGACAUGUGGCCAACCCCUGAGCACCGGACGCUGGGGGUCGAGCGUCCGGUGAUCACUUGGUAGCGUCCGGUGCCCCCGUUUUCAGCCCAGUGAAAACAGCCAACGGCUAGUUUCUUUGAGGGGGCUUAUAAAUAGAGGGUGUCUGGCUUUGGGAGGUUCUCUCUUGCACAUUUGAUUACUUGAGGCAUACUUUGAGCUAGAGAACACUCCCUCCACUCAUUUCCUUGCUUGAUUCCUCAUCCUAGUGAGAUUGAGUGAGAUUCAAGUGCAUUACUUUGAGAGUUGCAUUUAGUGGCACUUGAUUCUUGAGUUUGCUAUGGAUUUCUUGUUACUCUUGGGUGUUUCCCGAUACCCUAGACAGCUUGGAGAAGCGGUGGCGUUGAGCUCGUGAUUGGAGAUUAUUUCGAGCCUCACCAAGUGAUUUGUGAGGGGUUCUUGAGCCUUCCUCGCGGAAGAUCGCAAUUGGCUACCCUAGUGGAUUGCUCGUGGCUUGGAGGAUCCUCAUCUUGUGAGUGGAUGUGCGGCACCCGCUGAGGGUUUGGCUUUGGAUUGCCAAUUAGCUCGUGAUCCAUCAACUGGGUGUAUCGCCACAACGAGGACUAGCUUGCCGGGAAGCAAGUGAUCCUCGGUAAAAAAUCUUGUUUCAUCUCUUGCCGAGGAUUCUCUUGUAAUUGUGAUUGAUUGAUUGGCUAUAAUUCUACUCUACAAUGUUGGUAUAACAAUCACUCCCCUCUCCUUUACUUUUGUGCAUACCUUGCUAGUGGUGUAGCUUGUUUAGCUUAGCUAUCUUAUUUGGGAGUGUAGCUAGCUUCUAGUUGUGUUUUCUUGUUGUAGCUAGCUUUUAGCUUUCUUGCUAGACUUGUGUAGGUGGCUUGCAUAGCUUAGUUGUGCUAGUGCUAGAAUAGCUUCGCCUUUUAUUUUACUAAUCAACUUGUCUAGUUGAAGUUUGUAGAAAAUUUAAAUAGGCUAUUCACCCCCCUCUAGCCAUUUGGACCUUUCACGUUCUCUACUUAGACCUUUAUAAAAUUAUUGUAAAAGAAUAGGUUCUGGUAGACUAAGGUCCGGGCCAGAUGCUAAAAGUGUAGUAAAUCGAUUCCAGGCUGAAGCCAAAGAAUCUUUAGAUUUUUGCUUUAUAGUGAGAACCUUGACUCCAAGGUCGAUGAUUUGGGAGAUGGGAUAGAAAUCUAGGCAAAAGUUGGAAUGUAAAGAUCCCCAAUCUCCUUGUUGCUUACCUACGGCUCUGUUAUACCAUUGUCUAGCUUUUCCCAUUAAUGAAAAGGGAAAUAGCUUCCACCAGAGAGUUUCAUUAGAUAUGCCUUCAAUGUGAAGAAAGUCACAUGUUUGCUCAAAGUCUCUAAUGUGUAGGUAAGGAUUUUCAUCUCCUUCUCCUAAAAAGAUAGGCUUUGGACCAAUGCAAUCAACCGCAGACUCUUCCUAUAGCUACAUGUUUGGAUAGGUUGUGAUGACUCAUGUGGCAUUAGGCUGGUCUCUGUGGGUGUAGAGAACUGAAGGAUAGGAAUGGAAUUUAAGGUAUCCAUAAAAUAAAAGGUAAGAAGUAAGAAAAAGUGAGAUAACAGAAAAACAUAAAUGUGUGAUACAAGGUAGAGUAAGAUAAGGUUAUCUAAGGAGAUCGUCUUUCUCCCUGGCAACGGCGCCAGAAAUGAUUGUUGAUAUUAGUUACGCACACAAAAGAAUCAAAGAGAAAUAAUCCACAAGCACACAGAUAUCGGUGAGCACUUCACCUGGGAGAUAAGUCUAGAGUAUCAUAUUUAUUUUUUACCACUACGAGAAAGCAUCCAAAAGACUAACCUUUUAUCCUACCUACUACCCACAAGUUGCUUACCUAUGGUAAGCGUGCAAAAGACUAACCUUUUAAGCGAUAUAGAGAGAACUCUUUCUUCAGUCUUCUUCUUACCUAUGGUAAGUGUGUAGAUUUCGUUCUAAGGGGUGUAACUAGAGAAAAGAGACACCUCAGAGAGUGCUUAACCGUAGUACCAUAUACCCUACGUUACCUCCUGACAGGACGUGGAUUACUAAGACCCAAUAGGAUUGUCACUUCCCCCAAAAGGCUUCCACAAAUAUAGGCAAGCAAGGAGUAUCUACGAGUAUUCCUAGCCCAAGCACCGCACUUACGCUACGAAUAAUUACUAUAUUCCCUAUGCUAAGCAAAUAAAGUAAACUCGUAAACCAAUGAACAAUAAGAACAACAACUUACUAGUAUUAGAAGUUGAAUUGCCAAACAAUUCUAGAACCAAGGCUCGGGUUAGGAGACUUGACCCUGAAGAUACAAAGAAGAAGGCACCGACAGGCCGGGCUUCCUCAACUCCUAUCCUCACCCUAUACUUUCUCAAUCUCUCUUGUUGCUAUCACCCUAAAGAAAUAGAUCUAUUUGAGGGACCCCUCUCUGUCUAACUCUCUCUAGAAAAUAUGAAUUAGGGUUUCAGAGUUACAUUUCAGGGGGUCAGGGUCUUUAUUUAUAGCCCCCUAGGAAUCACCACAGCCCUUGGAUCAAACCAACUUAAACAUGUGCUUAAGAUUAAUCCUCAAAGUCGGUGGACAUAGGAUCUGCGAGGUUUGCUCCGAUUGGUGGAGAGCCCCGGGCGGUUGCCCCUGAUAGGGUGGGGCGCCCAUCCCUGUCCUAUGGCAGGUGGGUCCCAUCUUUCAUGUGGUGGCUCCUAGAGUAUUCUACAUUGUUCAUAAGUUGACGUUGCGGUCUUCUGUAACACACUAGGUGUUAAGCAUGCACUUAGUCUCAUCAAACCAUUCAUAAGCAUCCUCAUCAAGCAUAGCAUCACAUAAGCAUGUCAUCCAUUCAAAGUGUGAUUUUAUGUGCUUUAUUUCAGGUGAAUUAAAUAUGCUAAAAAUAUUAUGCUUGUUUCAAAAAUUGUGAAAUAUUCAAAUUAGGUGGAACUGAGUGUUAGAAUAUUUAAGAGUAAUUUUGUGAUAUUUUUGGAGCCAUAGAAAUUGAGAAAUUGAUUUUUGUACUAAAUUCCCAAAAAAAUAGAUUUAUUUAAAAACCUAUAACUAGUUUGAGUUGUAUUUCAAAAUCUAUUUGGAAUUUGUGAAUUCGACUUAAAACAAAGUUGUAGGGUUUUUGUUUUGGAACAAUUUUCAUUUUGGGAGAAAAAGGUGAAAAUGAAUUUAAAGUGGUCCAAAGGAAUUUAGAAAGAGUUUGAGAAAAGAAAUUCAAAAAGAAAAAAUAGAAAAGGGAAAAGGGGGCGCUAGCAGGCCGCGGCCUCACUUCUGGCCCGCUCGCCGAAGCCGGUCCAGCCCGCCCGCACUCUCCCAUUCCCCGCGCCCGCGGUCGCGCCCGCGUCGUGUCCACGCGCGGACGGCCGCGCCGCGCCGCCGUGGCGAGCCGGCAGAACUCGGCUGCCGCGUGGCGAGCAUGCGAUCGCCUGGACGCGCCCUGGUCGGCCACCAGGAGCGCCCGGCCGCGCCCGCCUCCGCCCUCGCUGCCGUUUGCGCCCGUCAGCUCUCGCUCUCUCGCACUCUCGCCCUCGCUCCUCGCGCGCAGAGCGCCGCCGUCGCCAUUGGAGCCCGAGCUCCGCCUCCACCGUUCUCCCCCAGCGCGUGCGCCAUUCUUCGAUUCAUUCUCCCCCGAGCUCCGCCCUCGCUCCGCCGUUGCGGAACACACGUCUGAGCGUUCGGUCAGGCACGGUGAGCCUCGCUCGCCCUCGUUUCUUCUCCAGCGAGAGCGCCGCCGCCGCGCACGUGGUCUGCAUGCCUCCGUGCCUUCCGGUGCCGCUUAGUUAGCGCGUCGUGCUCGCCUUGGCACCACGAUGCUCGCGAGCCACUCCAACCGUGCUCUACCGGGCCAACGUCUCGGGACGACGGUGAGCAGCACCGCCGCUCUGCCAUGGCCGGUGGCGAGCCUGCUCCGGUCCGUUUCAGGCCGCGCAAAAGGGUGCGCUAGGUUCACCUUGAGCCGUAGAGCGUGUAGGGCAACUUGAUUCGCCGAAAGAGAUUGCCGAAGGUGAGCUCCGGCUCGCCGGAGCUCUCCCCUCUCUGCGCUCUGGCCAGCGGGUCCGCUCGUCAGCGACCGCGGGUGCACUGCACCGGGUGCACCUAGCUGGUCCCGGGGUGGAUUUGAAUUGUUUUUCAGAAAAAUCAUUUCCAGAAAAUGGUUUAAAUGUUCAAAAAUCCAUAUCUUGAGAUCCAUAGCUCCAAAAUUCAUGAAAUAAAUUUUAAUGUGUUCUAGAAUCUCAGUUCUGCAGUUUGGUUAGAUUGCAUGUCAUGUUUGAGUAACUUUUCUGUGCAAUUAUAUUUAAUCCAUAUUUUUGCUGGAAUUGGAAAAUGCAUAGUAAUCAAAGUAUAACUCAGAAAAAUAUGAAACUUUUUUUGCUGGCUCUGCAUGUAUGAUUAGUUACUGGAAAAAUUUUGCUACACAUCAUUUGCUGAAUAAAUAAAUUUAUGGUGAUUGAAAUGCUUGCAUGGCAGUGGUUUAUGAUUUUUAAUAAAUAUUUGGAUCAUGCAAUUAAUUUGGAAAUUUUUGUGGGUGUUUCUUAUGAUAAUAAGCAAAUUAUAAAAAUAUGAAAUCUGUUGUUUGACACUUAUAUCACAAUAGAGUAUUUAUACUUGCUUGUGUGAAUUAAUCUUGUGAUUUUUGUAGCUCAAAAUAAGUGUCCAAAAAAAUUAUGAAAAAUUUAUGGUAGGCUUUAUGUUUGGCUGGUAGUCUCCUGUAAUUUUUGUGGAAUUUAUUGAUAAACAGAACUGCAUGCUAUAUAGAUGGGCCUAAAAAUGAAUAAAGAAAUUAUGAAUUGUUAUAUAUGGUGUAAAUAGAAUAAAAGGGGGUUGGUGUAUCUUUGAAGCAUCUUGUGAGUUUGCUGGUUACACUUGAGGAUAAAUUGUAGAAGAGAGGGAAAUAGAUGAUUAGUGGAUGAUGUUGACUACCUUGUAAAAUGACCACAUAAAUCAUCUACGCACCAUGUCAUAGUCAUCUGGAAUUCUAUCGCAUGAGCAUUACACCCCGGGCAUCUCGCACUCCACUCAUGAGCACCCAUGCAUCAUACAAGCUCGCAGGAGAAUGAGGUGGGACCCGAGGAGCAGGAGGAAGCACAGGAGCAGGAACCUCUGGGAGUGUCAGAACCCGAAGAGGAGCUGCAAGAGUGCCGGAUCAUAAACCGAGCACGUUCGAGAAAGGCAAGCCCCGGAGCAUUCUAAGUCUCCCAAUUCUCGCUGACUUAAAUAUUAUAUUACGCUUGUUCUACUAUGCUGCAUUUAAGUAGUAGGAAUUGCUUGAUACCGUUGAUGCAUAUAUACUCCUUGUUAUCACUACUCGUUUAUCUACCUUGUCCUAUGUAGAUAGCUACGGAGUCUAUGCUUAGCUUGCUUAGUCCGGCAGAAGUCCGGUGAUCUUCUGUCACCUGCGAGAUAUAGGUGGAUACCUGGUUAUUUAGCGGUGACUUCUUUGGGGAAGAAUAACCAAGUGUGGAAUGGAAUUUGAGACCGGGCAGGGUCUUAUGGUGGGUUGACUAUAGUGCCCCUGCCUGUGUCGAUUAAAGACCGAUCAUUGACGGCCCUCUUGUCAUGUUGAACGCAUGCCCCACAUUUAGCUAGAAGGAUAAGUCGUUCCGACCGCGAAGCCUGAGCACUAUCCGGGCCGGGAGUCGGCCCGAUGUACGCGCUGUAUUGGUGGUGGUUCAGGAGAACAACGAGGGCGUGCAACCUUGGUAUAACUUGGAUACCUCGGUCGCCGGAACGGUCCUCGGGUACGGGCGGUGCCUGUCGAACCCGCGAAUUGGUCCUGGAUAGUGCAACACGGUGAUCUGUAGCUCACUUGAUCACUGAGUGUGGUUUGUUUGGGGAAUAACUUGCCAGCUGGUUAGAAAUCGUUUCGAAUCGCCAUCGCUCCUGGACAGUGAGCACUUGACAUGAGCCCUGUCCUCGUAGUAAGGACUAUGGAACACUUGGGUUAUAAUGAUAAAUAGUUUCAUGAAUGUUAUGGUGAGGUACCAUCAUAUUAUUACCUUUGUUUGCCAUAGUGCAGGUGCAAACCUAGAUAAUAGGUAAUGAUACUUCAACUUGAGCUAAUUAAAAGAAGAAGGAUCUCUGUAGGAUAUGCUUAAUAGAAUAGAGCUUUUAUGCAAAAAGUCAUCAGCUACCCCCACUAUACAGCCUUCAUGAUCCUUGAAGAGUCGUUAUUUUCAGUUUAUGAUGGGUAAGUCUAGCUGAGUACAUUCUCGUACUCAGGGUUCUAUUCCCUUGUUGUUUUGUAGAUGGUCAAAUGUACUAUGGUUAUUGCCUCCUCUGCUUGUACCUAGCUAUGGGCGAUGACUAGACCAAGGGCGAUGGUCACUCUAUCUUCUCUUUUGCUUUUGUGGAAAUGACCAAAACUAUGGCACUAUAUCAGACUAAGUAUGUGUGUGUUACUUUCGAACCAUGAAGCUUCCUCUACAUGUGAACUUGGUUUGUAAUAACUUUAGACACUCCGAUGUUUUCGAUGGAUGGUUUCGAACUCGAUGUAAUUGUGGAUGGUGACCGCUGAACUUAUUAUGAUCUUGGCUGUAUGUACGAUAUGUGGUUUGGAAUCCUUCGAGAUUUCACGGACUACCGGGAUUAUAUGGGCUUAAGCUCGAUGGUUUGACUACGCAAAUGGUCGCUAUUAGGCUUAAUCUCUUAUAAUUUGGACAGUUCUAUUACAGCUGGCAUCGGAGCAAGGUUUAGCGAGUUACUGUUCAUAAGUACGUUCUAAACUAAAUUUGAACCGGUUAAAUAAAAGAUUAUUCUUAAUUAAUGAUAAUCAAGUUGUCAAACUAAGUUUUUGGAAAACUAUCUAGUGUGCCAUGGUCAUAUCCUUUAUGCCCAGUUAAGGACUCUAAGGUGGCUAGUAAAAGUACUGACUUGGGUGUUAAUGCAUCAUAUUUCUAUUUCGUCGCUCAUACGGCGUGCAAUAGUAUGAGUACCAUUCAUUUGAGUGGUAAUGUAUGGAUCAGUUUUUCCUCUACGCCUCGGUAAGUGGGAGUUAUGAGAUCAUGAUCGGAUACACUGCCGAUCUAGGGGAAUGUUGUUAGGUGCUGUGUCAUGCACACAUGUUUGGUGUGCUUGGGAACAGUACCGCAUGUUGGGAGAUUCCGUCCUGAGAGGCGAUGCCGUCAGUAGGGCGAAGAUGUGGGUAGCAACACGUAAUAUGCAUGGACGGGUGUCUGUGUAUGUGGGGUGUAUAGCUUUAAAUUAGUGUUCUGCAUGUUCAUACUGUGGUUGGGCUGAAAUGAGUUUUCUGCAGGUACACUAACCACGUUCUCGCUUAGAACGCUAGUUACGUUAUGAGAGAAUGCUGUGUGCCACCGCAUAUACCGCUUAGUGUUAAAUUUUGUUUCUAAGUUUGUGAGAUCGUAUGUCCGUGCAUGCAUCAUGUUCAUUUCAUAUCAUUGCUUACUUUCCCCCCUUAAUUCAAUCUGUCCCAAUUCUAAAUAAAAUAAUUAAAGAUAAUCCGCAAUCUUACCCAAGGUAUUCCAUUUGCAGCAGAUGGCAUGCACUAGGCUCACCGCUCGCAAGUCCACUGGUGGGCCGGCCCCUCGCCACCCGUUGGCAGCCAGGAGCUCGUGUCAUAAGAGCAAGUUCCUGGAGGAGUUUGGGAUGCCCACCUUGCCAUGGAGGGUGCUCAGUUCGAUGGGGUAUCCUGAAGGAAGGGAACCUCGCUACUACUGGGACAAGGAGCAGCUUGGUGACCGCACCCUGGUGGGGAUCGAGGCAGUAGUCCCCACUAGUGGAGGUGACCCCGCCUAGGGUGGCUGGGUGUACGAGUCCCCGAGGUGCCACGCCUUUCCACGGUGCCAGCAGGGCAGCUUUCGCAGUUCUGAGGGACCUCAUGGAGAGGUUCCCCCGGGAGCUAGUGAAAGCCCUAGUUUGGUUUUGGAUAAUUGAUGAAACCCUAGUACUAACCUCUAUGCUAAGUGUGUGUAGACUUAAUGAGGUUGGUACAUGCCAAGUGAUGGAGCAAGUGAUGAUCAUGGUGAUGAUGGUGAUGACCACAAGGUGAUCAAGUGCUCAACUUGGAAAAGAAGAAAGAGAAAAACAAAACCCUAUGGAGAUCAAGGCAAAGGUAUUGCUUAGGGUUUUGGUUUCGGUGAUCAAGACACCAUAGAGGGUGUGAUCACAUUUAGGAUAGAUAGCCGUACUAUUAAGAGGGGUAAUCUCGUUGUGAAAACGGUUGUCUAAGUGCCACUAGGUGAUUAAAUUCCUUGCAUGUGCAUUAGGACCUAGUGAGCUAACUAAGUAACCCUUGAAAAAUGUUUUGAAAUAUGCUAACACACGUGCACAAGUGUGGAGACACUUUGGUGUUGGCACAUGGAAGCAAGGGAAGAAGUUGAGAAUCAUUUCGCGCUGAUUUUUCAAGCCAGACGCGUCUGGUAUGAGGUCGGACGCGUCCGAGUUGAGGCACCGGACGCGGAAAUAGUUUUCGCGUACAGUCCGGUGUGCCUCGUUCGGUGAGUUUGUUUCUCGGUGAAACUCUCUGAGUUUGCGUCCGGUGCACACCAGACGCGUCCGGUGUGAACUAGGACACGUCCGAGUUGGCGUCCGGUGCAAACUCCUCCUGCAGAGCUCUCUGGGUGUGAGUCCGGUGCACACCGGACGCGUCCGGUGUGUGCGUCCGGUGUGGCAACCGGUGUUGGCUCAAGUUUGCGAUGCUCCCUGAGUUUGGGUCCGGUGCAUACCGGACGCGUCCGGUGUGACACUGGACGCAUCCGGUAUUUCAAAAGUGAGCGUCCGGUGCCUUGUCAGUGUCAGAGGCAACGGCUACUUUUCUAACAGUCAGGAGCACCGGACGCUGGUCUCGCUCAUACCGGGCGCGUCCGAUGUGAACUAGGACGCGUCCAGUGUGAACGCAGACAGUGGGAUUUCCUGCCUACGGCUAGUUGAAGCUUGGGACUUCUUUUUAUAUGCCUUGGCUGGUUCUUGCUCACUCUCUUGACUCUCUAACUUGAUGAUACACCUUGUGAGCAUACUCCCACACUUCCCACUCACCUUGUUCAAGAUCUGUUCAUCCAAAGUGAGAUUGGGAGAGAUCCUAGUUGCAUUUGCUUAGAGUUUGAGCAUCUAGUGGCACUAGUGAUCGUUGAGCAGCGGGUUUGCUUGUUACUCUUGGUGGUUGCCGCCACCUAGAUGGCUUGGAGCUGCGGAGGAGCUUUGGCACGAGUUGGUGAUUGUUCGUGGCCAUCUCCCGGUGAUUGUGAGAGGUUUGUGCCUACCUCGGCGGAGAGCCAAAGGCAACAUUAGUAGAUUGCUCGUGUCAUUGAGCUACCUCACUUGUGGGUAGGUUCUUGUGGUGUCCUAGUGAGGACGAGGUUCAUGCUACACCUCUUAGCCACCGAACCACCAAGUGUUGGUCGACACAACGGGGACGUAGCGUGCCGGCAAGCACGUGAACCUCGGGAGAAAAAUUGCUUGUCUCCAUUGUGUUUGUUCAUUGGAUUUCUCCCAGUGAUUGGACUUCACAUUAUUGAUUGGUUCAUCCCCUCUACGCGGCGGUAUAAAGAUCAAUCCAUCUCUCUUACAUUUCCGCAAACUAGAAGUAGCUUACUUGCUUGUAUAGAAACUUUAGGUAGCUUUCUAGUGUAAGUAGUGACAUAGCUCUUGUGUGCAUAGUGAUCAUAGCAACUAGAAUUGUUGGAUAGGUGGCUUGCAAACACCUCUUUAGAGCUAGAGCAAAAAGCUUCGCUUUGUUGUUUACUAACCUCUUGCUCUAGUGAGUUUGUAGAAUUUUUUAAUAGGCUAUUCACCCCCCCUCUAGCCAUAUUAGGACCUUUCAGCUGGCCUACGCCUUCGCUAGGGUGUUUCCCUGGGGUGACCCCUACACUUCGGUGUGGGAUCAGUCCGAUGUGAGCGCUCUAGAGAGGAGUGCAGAUGAGGACCAGCACAGUGACAGUGUAGCUAUGAGUGCUAUGUACGCCUUGAUGAAGACCUACGGGGGCCUGGAGCGAUGUUUGGGGCGCUUGUCCGGGUCUCUUCUCAUAGUCCAGGAUGAGAAGUGUCGGUUGCAGCGUGAGUUCGACACUGAGGUUGAGAGGCUGCAGGCAGAGUUGGCCUGCGUGACCCGAGAGAGGGAUCAGGCGGUCCAGAAGAACAGUGAGCUGAGCCAGGACCUGCUUGCAGUGAGAGAGCAGCGAGACAGGGUGACUACUGCUCAUAGGAACUGCGAGCACAUGCUAGUUCAUGUGCUUGGUCAGAGGAAUGAAGCCUGGCACGAGGAGGACACCCUGAGGGCACGACAGCUAGAGCUUGAGCAGUAGCUAGCUAAUGCUGAGGAGUACAAUGAGAACUUGCAUGAGGAGAUCCACCAAUUGCAUAACCAGCUUCACCCUCACCACCUGCCUGGAGCAGCGGAGUUAGGCUCUAAGGACGAGAUGGAUGAGGAUCCAUAGAUAGGGGAAGCUGCUAGUGGAGACGAGGACGAGGAGAGCUCCGGCAUGGACAGUGAUCAUAGCGAGUAGACACUAGAGCUCUAGAGCUAGUCCUUCUUCUUUUGUUGUUGAUGUUGCAUGCCAUGUCUUGUACUUUUGGAUCUGGGUUAUGUAAAACUUUAUGUGAUGGCGCUGAAAGUCCAGUGUAUGUAUGCUGGCAAUUUUGGAUGUAUGCGAACCUUAUGCUGGAAUAUUAAGUAAUCUGUUAGUGAUGUUGUGCGUGGAUGAUGAAUUGUUGUGCCUAUGUUUAUUGCGUGAAUUUAUUUCCUCAGUAAAUUCAGUAUGACAUAAUUCUACGCAUGUCUACCGUUGAUGGCAACUCCUAACGAUUGCUUAUCGAUGACGCAUGUAGAUGGUGCAAACACGUGGCGGGGGUAACAGCAACCCGGGUCUUGGAGCAGGUACAUCCGGAGGUGGGGCUCAACGGAAUGAGGACAGAGCACCAUCACCGCCACCCCCCCCACCUCCUCCGUACACUGCGGACAUAUUUUUCGCACAGUUUCUGGGAGUCAACGCAACAUGGAACAGAUGUAGCGCAAUAUGGAAGAAGCCCUGCGCAACAUAGCCGACAACACCCGCCGUGGGGAUAACCAGGGCGGCCGUGAAGCCAAUCCAUACAGCUCUUUCAAGGACUUCAUGGAUACCAAGCCACCAGUCUUCAAGAAGGCGUUGGAACCACUCGAGGCGGAUGAGUGGAUCAACACCAUGGAGCAAAAGUUCCGUCUUCUUCGGAUGACUGAAGAACUCAAGGCUGAGUAUGCGGCACAUCAGCUGCAGGGACCUGCUGGGAUUUGGUGGUCCCAUCAUCAUACCACCUACCCAGAGGGGACCCCGAUCACGUGGAACCGCUUCACCACCGCGUUUCGGGGAAAUUAUAUUCCUCCGGGUGUGGUGGAAAUGAAGGUUGGGGAGUCCAUGAGGCUGUCUCAGGGGACGAAGUCUGUGAAGGAGUAUCUCCAUGCUUUUAACAAUCUCGCUUGCUAUGCCCCCGAGUUUGUAAACACGGAGGCCAAGAAGAUCGCUAGUUUCCAGAGAGGUCUGAGCCCAAAGAUGCUGAAAACCAUGGGUAUAGGAACCCGGGCUACCUUAAAUGCUUAUAUCAGCGACUGUCUGACCCAGGAGAACAAUAACAACAACUAUAGUGCAUCCAAGUCACGUAAAAGGGCUUUUGAAGCUGGGUCCUCUCAGUCCAGGGCACCAGUGGCAGGGCGACAGCAAUAUCGUCCUCCUACCCCAGGUGCUAGGUUCCGACCGCUGCAGAGAAGGAACACCGGGCAUCCAACGCAGCAGAAGCCGUACAAGGUGGCGAUAGCUCCUGCCAAGCCAAAGGCAAUUCAAGCUGCGGCACCUGCCGCCAACAAUGCGACCAAGGGUCCGUGCUACAACUACCACAAGAUGGGGCACUUUGCUAAGGAAUGUCCCUACCCCAAGAGGCAACAAACGACCUACCUAGCCCGUGUGCACCAUACCUCGAUCGAGGAGAUCCCGGAAGGAGAACCAGUAACAGCUGGUAUGUUUCUUGUCAACCAACAUCUUGCAGUCGUUUUGUUUGAUUCUGGAUCAUCGCAUUCAUUCAUGAGCCAAGCAUUUACACAAAAGCAUGACCAGCCAGUUACUGAGUUGGGUUAUGGCUAUCGCAUCAGCUCAGCCAGGGGUGAUGUGUUGACUAACAGAACAGUAACAGGGGUUACCUUGGAUAUCAGUGGCUGAAUGUUUUGUUUAAACCUUGUAGUCAUGCCAGGGUUGGUUUUGUAUGUUAUCAUUGGAAUGAAUAAGAUGACCGACUGGGGUGCAGUUAUAGAUGCUGGAAAUAGAACUCUUUCCCUCAAGAACCCGCAGGGAGAAGUUGUGCUUCAGGUCAAGCUACCUCGACGGCUAGACUUCGCUAGUCUUUCGUGUGCAGUACAAGUAGUUUCACUAGAACGCAUACCAGUGUUAUGUGAGUUCCCUGAUGUUUUUCUUAAGGAAUUACCCGGACUUCCUCCAGAUAGGGAAGUAGAGUUUGCAAUAGAGUUGAUACCAGGUACUGCACCGAUAUCUAGAAUGCCAUACCGGAUGCUGCCAAAUGAACUCACUGAGUUGAAGAAUCAACUAAAAGAAUUGCUAGAUAAAGGGUUUAUCCGGCCUAGUUCGUCGGAAUGGGGUUGUCCGGCGUUGUUUGUGGAAAAGAAGGAUCAAUCGCUGCGCAUGUGCGUGGACUAUCGUCCACUCAAUGCAGUGACCAUCAAGAAUAAGUAUCCUUUGCCCAGGAUUGAUAUUUUGUUUGAUCAGUUGUCCAAGGCAAAAGUGUUUUCCAAGAUAGACUUGUGGUCUGGGUAUCACCAGAUCAAGAUUCGCCCGCAAGAUAUCCCGAAGACUGCUUUUUUCACCAGAUACGGGUUGUAUGAGUAUUUGGUCAUGUCCUUUGGGUUGACGAAUGCUCCUACGUACUUUAUGUAUCUGAUGAAUUCGGUCUUUAUGCCAGAGUUAGAUAAGUUUGUUGUAGUGUUUAUUGAUGAUAUUCUAGUUUAUUCAGAAAAUGAGCUAGAUCACGCCGAGCAUCUGAGAUUCAUGCUAACGCGAUUACGAGAGCAUCAGUUAUAUGCAAAGUUCAGCAAGUGUGAAUUCUGGUUGAAGAAGGUUCCUUUCCUAGGGCACAUUCUGUCUGAAGAAGGGAUUGUUGUGGAUCCGUCAAAAGUGCAGGAAGUCAUGGACUGGAAGGCACCAACUUCUGUCUCGGAAUUUAUAAGUUUUCUUGGUCUGGCCGGGUAUUAUCGUCGUUUCAUACCCGACUUCUCCAAGAUUGCUAAGCCGAUGACUAGUUUGCUACAAAAGGAUCAUAAGUUUGUCUGGACGGAGGGAUGUGAGCUAGCCUUCCGCACCUUGCGAAAGUUGCUAACCACCGCUCCCGUUCUGGCGCAACCCAAUAUCGAGAAGCCUUUUGAUGUGUUUUGCGACGCAUCGAAAAGUGGCUUGGGAUGUGUGUUGAUGCAAGAUGGCAAAGUGAUAGCUUACGCUUCACGACAGUUGAGAAAGCACGAAGUCAACUACCCAACUCACGACCUCGAGUUAGCAGCAGUAGUGCAUGCUUUGAAGAUCUGGAGACACUAUUUUCUAGGAAAUAAGUGUCAUAUCUACACCGAUCUUAAAAGUCUGAAAUACAUCUUCACCCAGUCCGAGCUUAAUAUGAGGCAACAAAGAUGGUUGGAACUGAUCAAGGAUUACGAUUUGGAAGUCCACUAUCAUCCAGGCAAGGCUAAUGUAGUAGCAGACGCUUUGAGUCGCAAACAGCACUAUCAAGUGGUUCAACCUCUGUUUGAAGAUGGUUUCAAUCUAAUGCAUCCUGAAGUUUUAUGUCACAUACAGCUUAGUUGUUCACUUGAAAGCCAAGUCAUCGAAGGUCAGAAAACAGACAAGGGUAUUUUCCACAUCAAAGAAAAGAUCAAAAACGACCCAAAGACUCAAUUCAGAGUUGAUGAAAAAGGGAUAUUGUGGUUUCAGCACCGGCUGGUAGUUCUGAAGAAUCAAGAAUUGAAGAAUCGCAUCAUGGAUGAAGCCCAUCUCUCCAAGCUUUCUAUUCAUACUAGCAGUAGUAAGAUGUACCAAGACCUAAGAUCUCACUUUUGGUGGACCAAAAUGAAGAAAGAAAUAGCCGCAUAUGUGGCCCGUUGUGACACGUGUUGCAGAGUCAAGGCUAUAUAUAUGAAACCUGCAGGUUUGUUACAACCGUUGUCAGUGCCAGAGUGGAAGUGGGAAGAGGUCAGUAUGGACUUUAUCAAAGGGUAACCGACAACACGAAAGGGGAAUGACUUGAUUUGGGUAAUCAUAGAUCGAUUGACCAAGUCGGCUCAUUUCAUUCUUGUGAAAACUCAUUACCGACCUCAUGAGUAUAAGGAUAUAUAUAUAGCUGAGAUUGUCAAGUUACAUGGCAUUCCCAAGACCAUCAUAUCAGAUAGAGGGCUGCAGUUCACCGCUCAUUUCUGGGAGUGAAUGCAUAAGAGUUUGGGGACUAGUCUAAUAAAAAGCACCGCGUAUCAUCCCCAAACCUCGGGACAAACGGAAAGACUUAACGAAGUCCUAGAAGAUAUGCUGAGGGCCUGUGUACUAUCGUCCAAGGGAUCAUGGGAAUCGUGGUUACCAUUGGCUGAAUUCUCAUACAACAAUAGCUAUCAAGAGAGUAUUAAGAUGGCUCCGUUCGAAGCGUUGUACGGUCGUAAAUGUAGAACUCCGUUAAACUGGGUCGAACCUGGGGAAAGGAGAUACUAUGGCAUCGACUUCAUGAACGAGGCCGAAGAAAAAGUGCAAAUCAUACAGCAGCAUAUGCAGGCGGCACAACGCGACAAAAGAGUUAUGCCGAUAAGCGAAGGAGACCACUUGAAUUCAAUGUAGGUGACUAUGUUUACCUCAAAGUUACGCCAAUGAAGAAAUGAAGAAAGUUCAGCGUUUUCGAGUUCGAAGCAAGCUUGCACCCAGAUAUGUGGGACCGUAUCAGGUACUAGAGAGGAAAGGCCCUGUGGCCUACAAGAUUCAGUUACCUGAAGAGUUGAGUUCGAUCUUUCCAGUUUUCCAUGUGUCCCAACUACGAAAAUGUUUAAAAGUACCCGAGCAGAGGAUUGAACCCCGAGGAAUCAAAAUAAAGGUAGACUUAGAAUAUAAAAUGCAGCCAGUGGGUAUCGUAGAUACCAAGGAGCGAGUAACUCGGAACAGAGUUGUCAAAACAUACAAGGUGGUGUGGAGUCAUCAUGAUGAUAGGGAUGCUACCUGGGAAACCGAGGAUUACGUAAAAACAGUUUACCCAAAAUUUCAUAACAAAUGGUUAGUAACCCAAAUCUCGGGAUGAGAUUUCACUAAGGGGCGAAGGGCUGUAACACCCUAGGUGUUAAGCACGCACUUAGUCUCAUCAAACCAUUCAUAAGCAUCCUCAUCAAGCAUAGCAUCACAUGAGCAUGUCAUCCAUUCAAAGUGUGAUUUUAUGUGCUUUAUUUCAGGUGAAUUAGAUAUGCUAAAAAUAUUAUGCUUGUUUCAAAAAUUGUGAAAUAUUCAAAUUAGGUGGAACUGAAUGUUAGAAUAUUUAAGAGUAAUUUUGUGAUAUUUUUGGAGCCAUAGAAAUUGAGAGAUUGAUUUUUGUACUAAAUUCCCCAAAAUAGAUUUAUUUAAAAACCUAUAACUAGUUUGAGUUGUAUUUCAAAAUCUAUUUGAAAUUUGUGAAUUCGACUUAAAACAAAGUUGUAGGGUUUUUGUUUUGGAACAAUUUUCAUUUUGGGAGAAAAAUGUGAAAAUGAUUUUAAUGUGGUCCAAAGGAAUUUAGAAAGAGUCUGAGAAAAGAAAUUCAAAAAAAAUAGAAAAGGGAAAAGGGGGCGCUAGCAGGCCGCGGCCUCACUUCUGGCCCGUUGGCCGAAGACGGCCCAGCCUGCCCGCGCUCUCCCCUUCCCCGCGCCCGCGCCGUGUCCACGCGCGGACGGCCGCGCCGCGCCGCCGUGGCGAGCCGGCAGAACUCGGCUGCCGCGUGGCGAGCAUGCGAUCACCUGGACGCGCCCUGGUCGGCCACCAGGAGCGCCCGGCCGUGCCCGCCUCCGCCCUCGCUGCCAUUUGCGCCCGUCAGCUCUCCCUCUCUCGCUCUCUCGCCCUCGCUCCGCGCGCGCAGAGCGCCGCCGUCGCUAUUGGAGCCCGAGCUCCACCUCGACCGUUCUCCUCCAGUGCGUGCGCCAUUCUUCGAUUCGUUCUACCCCGAGCUCCGCCCUCGCUCCGCCGUUGCGGAACACCCGUCCGAGCGUUCGGUGAGGCACGGUGAGCCUCGCUCGCCCUCGUUUCUUCUCCGGCGAGAGCGCCGCCGCCGCGCACGUGGUCUGCAUGCCUCCGUGCCUUCCGGUGCUGCUUAGUUAGCGCGUCGUGCUCGCCUUGGCACCACGAUGCUCGCGAGCACUCCAACCGCGCUCUACCGGGCCAACGUCUCGGGACGACAGUGAGCAGCGCCGUCGCUCCGCCAUGGCCGGUGGCGAGCUUGCUCCGGUCCGUUCGAGCUGGAGCUCUCCCCUCUCUGCGCUCUGGCCAGCGGGCCCGGCUGGCAGACGGGUCCGCUCGUCAGCGAUCGCCGGUGCACUGCACUGGGUGCACCUAGCUGGUCCCGGGGUGGAUUCGAAUUGUUUUUCUGAAAAAUGAUUUCCAGAAAAUGGUUUAAAUGUUCAAAAAUCCAUAUCUUGAGAUCCACAGCUCCAAAAUUCAUGAAAUAAAUUUUGAUGUGUUCUAGAAUCUCAGAUCUGCAGUUUGGAUAGAUUGCAUGUCAUGUUUGAGUAACUUUUCUGUGCAAUUAUAUUUAAUCCAUAUUUUUGCUGGAAUUGGAAAAUGCAUAGUAAUCAAAGUAUAACUCAGAAAAAUAUGAAACUUGUUUUGCUGGCUCUGCAUGUAUGAUUAGUCACUGGGAAAAUUUUGCUACACAUUAUUUGCUGAAUAAAUGAAUUUAUGGUGAUUUAAAUGCUUGCAUGGCAGUGGUUUAUGAUUUUUAAUAAAUAUUUGGGUCAUGGAAAUUUUUGUGGGUGUUUCUUAUGAUAAUAAGCAAAUUAUAAAAAUAUGAAAUCUGCUCUUUGACACUUAUAUCACAAUAGAGUAUUUAUACUUGCUUGUGUGAAUUAAUCUUGUGGUUUUUGUAGCUCAAAAUAAGUGUCCAAAAAAAUUAUGAAAAAUUUACGGUACACUUUAUGUUUGGCUGGUAGUCUCCCGUAAUUUUUGUGGAAUUUAUUGAUAAACAGAACUGCAUGCUAUAUUGAUGGGCCUAAAAAUGAAUAAAGAAAUUAUGAAUUGUUAUAUAUGGUGUAAAUAGAAUAAAAGGGGUUUGAUGUAUCUUUGAAGCAUCUUGUGAGUUUGCUGGUUACACUUGAGGAUAAAUUGUAGAAGAGAGGGAAAUAGAUGAUUAGUGGAUGAUGUUGACUACCUUGUAAAAUGACCACAUAAAUCAUCUAUGCACCAUGUCAUAGUCAUCUGGAAUUCUCUCGCAUGAGCAUUACACCCCGGGCAUCUCGCACUCCACUCAUGAGCACCCAUGCAUCAUACAGGCUCGCAGGAGAACGAGGUGGGACCCGAGGAGCAGGAGGAAGCACAGGAGCAGGAACCUCUGGGAGUGUCAGAACCCGGAGAGGAGCUGCAAGAGUGCCGGAUCAUAAACCGAGCACGUUCGAGAAAGGCAAGCCCCGGAGCAUUCUAAGUCUCCCUAUUCUUGCUGACUUAAAUAUUAUAUUAUGCUUGUUCUACUAUGCUGCAUUUAAGUAGUAGGAAUUGCUUGAUACCGUUGAUGCAUAUAUAUUCCUUGUUAUCACUACUCGUUUAUCUACCUUGUCCUAUGUAGAUAGGUACGGAGUCUAUGCUUAGCUUGCUUAGUCCAGCAGAAGUCCGGUGAUCUUCUGUCACCUGCGAGAUAUAGGUGGAUACCUGGUUGUUUAGCGGUGAUUUCUUUGGGGAAGAAUAACCAAGUGUGGAAUGGAAUUUGAGACCGGGCAGGGUCUUAUGGUGGGUUGACUAUAGUGCCCCUGCCUGUGUCGAUUAAGGACCGAUCGUUGACGGCCCUCUUGUCAUGUUGAACGCAUGCCCCACAUUUUGCUGGAAGGAUAAGUCGUUCCGACCGCGAAGCCUGACCACUAUCCGGGCUGGGAGUCGGCCCGAUGUACGCGCUGUAUUGGUGAUGGUUGAGGAGAACGACGAGGGCGAGCAACCUUGGUAUAACUUGGAUACCUCGGUCGCCGGAACGGUCCUCGGGUACGGGCGGUGCCUGUCGAACCCGCGAAUUGGUCCUGAAUAGUGCAACACGGUGAUUUGUAGCUCACUUGAUCACUGAGUGUGGUUUGUUUGGGGAAUAACUUGCUAGCUGGUUAGAAAUCGUUUCGAAUCGCCAUCGCUCCUGGACAGUGAGCACUUGACAUGAGCCCUGUCCUCGUAGUAAGGACUAUGGAACACUUGGGUUAUAAUGAUAAAUGGUUUCAUGAAUGUUAUGGUGAGGUACCAUCAUAUUAUUACCUUUGUUUGCCAUAGUGCAGGUGCAAACCUAGAUAAUAGGUAAUGAUACUUCAACUUGAGCUAAUUAAAAGAAGAAGGAUCUCUGUAGGAUAUGGUUAAUAGAAUUGGGCUUUUAUGCAAAAAGUCAUCAGCUACCCCCACUAUACAGUCUUCAUGAACCUUGAAGAGUCAUUAUUUUCAAUUUAUGACGGGUAAGUCUAGCUGAGUACAUUCUCGUACUCAGGGUUCUAUUCCCAUGUUGUUUUGCAGAUGGUCAAAUGUACUAUGGUUAUUGCAUCCUCUGCUUGUACCCAGCUAUGGGUGAUGACUAGACCAAGGGCAAUGGUCACUCUAUCUUCUCUUUUGCUUUUGUGGAAAUGACCAAAACUAUGGCACUGUAUCAGACUAAGUAUGUGUGUUACUUUCGAACCAUGAAGCUUCCGCUACUUGUGAACUUGGUUUGUAAUAACUUUAAACACUCUGAUGUUUUCGAUGGAUGGUUUCGAACUGGAUGUAAUUGUGGAUGGUGACCGCUGAACUUAUUAUGAUCUUGGCUGUAUGUACGAUAUGUGGUUUGGAAUCCUUCGAGAUUUCACGGACUACUGGGAUUAUAUGGGCUUAAGCUCGAUGGUUUGACUACGCAAAUGGUCGCUAUUAGGCUUAAUCUCUUAUAAUUUGGACGGUUCUGUUACCUCUAUGUAAAUCUGACAUGUGGACCUUCUUUUGUUAUUAUUCCGGUAACCCCUUGCAAAAAUAGACAAUCACCAAAACUCGUGGAAUUCUAUUAGUGAUAACCCUAUUUCUACUGAGGGCUAGCAAAUAGGUCCUUUUCAUUUUAAGUUGAUGGUUAAAAUUAGGAGUUAUCUACCAUCAACACUCAACAAUGUGAACUUAAACCUUAGUGGUGACCUCAACCACAAGAUAAAUCAUUGUGUCUUGUGUGCUGUUGCACGUUCUCUCUUAUGUUCAACCCUUUCUAGGGUUUGGAGGCUCAAUCUAUUUCCAUAGGAGUUUUCUAUGGCAUCCAGUCUUGGAACUAGACUUUGUCUUGAUUUUGUAGGAUUGUAUAGUUUAUAGUUUCAACUUACUUUCUGCAAAAUCUCAUUCCUAUCUAACCUAUACUUGAAGGCCAAUAGUGCCACCCUCUAUGCUAGUGGUGUAGCUUGUUUAGCUUAGCUAUCUUGUUUGGGAGUGUAGCUAGCUUCUAGUUGUGUUUUCUUGAUGUAACUAGCUUUUAGCUUUCUUGCUAGACUUGUGUAGGUGGCUUGCAUAGCUUAGUUGUGCUAGUGCUAGAAUAGCUUCGCCUUUUAUUUUACUAAUCAACUUGUCUAGUUGAAGUUUGUAGAAAAUUUAAAUAGGCUAUUCACCCCCCCCCCCUCUACCCAUUUGGACCUUUCAAGUGGUAUCAGAGCCGAGGCACCGUUUAUUUGAGGCUUAACAACCUUCGGUGAAGAAAUGGCUCUUAGUUUGCAUAUCAACAACACUAAGAAGGCACCUUACUUUGAUGGCACAAAUUAUGCAUAUUGGAAGGUCAAGAUGACCGCCCAUCUCAAGUCAAUCAAUAGAGAGGUUUGGAAGGUAACCGAAACAAAGUUUGAGGUGGCAAAUGAAAAUGCACCAACGCCGGUUGAAGAGAAGAAGAUACAAUGCAAUGAUAUUGCCAUUAGUGCUCUUCACGAAGCUCUUGAUGACAAGACCUUUGAGCAAAUCAAGAACAUUGAGGUUGCUCAUGAUGCGUGGGCAAAGCUAGAAGAAACAUUUGAGGGCACUAAGGGAACCAAGACCGCCAAGGCUUACAUCCUUCAAGAAAAAUUCUCAGGCUUCAAGAUGCAAGAAGAUGAAAGUGUGUCCGGAGAUGUUUCACCAGUUGCAAGUCAUAGUGAAUGAACUCAAGGCACUUGGGGAAGAAGUAAAAUAUAGUCAAAUUCUCCAUGAAAUUCUUGAGAAGUAUUCCCAAGAGAUUUUACACAUUGAUCACUGUGCUAGUCAAGACAACACUUAGUGAAUCAACUCCCCAACAAGUCUUCCAAGAAGUGAUGACCGAUGAUGCUUAUAGAGAAGAUGAUGAGAAGGAUGAGUUGAUCAAAAAGAAGAAGAAGGAUGGUGAUAAGAAAGAUGAUGAGAAGAAGAAAAGUGUGGCAUUCAAGGCCUCCACAUCGAAGGGCAAAGCCAAGCAAGAAUCAUCAAGUGAAGAAGAAGCAAGCUCUUGUGAUAGUGAUGAGGAUGAGGAGAUGGCUCUUCUUGUCAAGAGAUUUGGCAAGUUAUGAAGAAGAAGGGCUAUCGGCCAAGAAGAAAGAAGAGCUCCUCCAAGAAGAAUGAUCAUUCCAUGAGGUGCUUUAGAUGCCAUAGCAAGGAUCAUCUCAUCGCUAAGUGUCCUUAUGAUAGUGAUGAUGAAGAUGCUAUCAAGAAGGAAAGAAAGAAGCAAAAGAAGAAGCAAGAAAAGAAGGAAGGCUCAAACAAGAAGAAGGGUGAUUCCCAUGUUGCAACUUGGGAUAGUGAUGACUCCUCAAGUGAUGAUGAGAGCAACAAGAAGAAGGGGCAUGCUAGUAUUGCAAUUCAAGGAAAGAGCUCCAUCUUUGACACUCCAUCAUGCUUCAUGGCUAAGGCCACUAAGGUAUCAUCCGAUGAUGAGAGUGACCAUGAUAGUGAUAGUGAUAGUGAUGAUGAUGAACCAACUAAAUAUGAACUAAUCACUAUGCUAGAAUAUUGCACUCAUCACUAUAAAGAAACUAGGAAGGAGUGCAAGGCCUUGCUUAAGGAUAAGAAAACCCUUGAGCAAGAACUUGAUGAGCUUAGAGCAUCUUAUGAGAAUCUAAAGGAAGACCAUAAGAUGCUUCAAAAAGCUCACACUAAGCUUGAAGAAGCUCAUUCCUCACUAGUUAACAAAUGUAAAAAUGAGCCAACUAAAAUUGAAAAAGCUCAAACUUGCAACAUAGGCCUAACAUGUGAUAUCUUAAGUAAGCCUAUUGUUAUUGCUUCUACUAACCCUUCAUGUAGCACAUCUACAUCAUCCUCAUCUAGUAGUGAUGGUUUCACAUGUGACACCACACUAAAAGUUGAGAAUGAAAUUCUCAAGAAGGAGGUGUAAGAGCUCAAUCACACCUUAGCUAAGGCUUAUGGUGGUGAGGACCGCUUGCUUAUGUGCUUGGGUAGCCAAAGAGCUUCUCUCUAUAAAGAGGGAUUGGGCUAUAACCCCAAGAAAGGCAAGGCCACCUUUGCUCCUCACAAGACUAGCUUUGUGAAGAACAAUGGCCGGUAUUGCAAAGCUUGCAAGCAAGUUGGUCACCUAGAGCAACAAUGCAUGAACAAGAAACCCAAAGCUUAUGUAUCUCAAUUAAGCUUAAUUCCUUCUAUGUGCUUACCAAGGGUACAAAAGGUGUUCAUGCUAAGUUCAUUUGUGCACCAUUGAUGGGCUCAAAGAAGAAAGUCAUUUGGGUACCAAAGAGCUUAGUUGCUAACCUUGGAGGACCCAAUCAAGUUUGGGUACCCAAAAAGAAUUGAUCUUGUCUUGUAGGUCAAUUACAAAGCCAGAGGAAGGCAUUAGGUGCUUGAUAGUGGGUGCACUCAACACAUGACCGGGAGUCUUGUAUGUUCAAAUCAAUUGAUACUAGUCAAAAUGGUGGCUUUGAUUCAAUCACCUUCGGCAACAACAAGAAAGGCAAGGUCAAAGGGCUUGGUAAAAUUGCUAUCUCAAAUGACAUGAGCAUAUCAAAUGUGUUGCUAGUUGAGAGCCUAGAUUUCAAUCUCUUGUCAAUUGCACAACUUUGUGACCUUGGUUUCAAGUGCAUCUUUGGAAGUGAUGAUGUUGAGGUUGUUAGUGUUGAUGGAUCAAACUUGAUAUUCAAAGGAUUUAGGCAUGGUAGCUUAUACUUGGUUGAUUUCAAUGAUAGUCACACUCAAUUGACAUCUUGCCUAAUUAGCAAAUCAAGUUUGGGUUGAUUGUGGCAUAGAAGGCUUGGUCAUGUUGGAAUGAAACAAUUGAACAAACUAUUGAGGCAUGACUUAGUUAGAGGCUUGAAGGAUGUCACCUUUGAGAAGGAUAAACCAUGUAGUGCUUGUGAAGCCGGAAAGCAAGUUGGAAAUGCACAUCCUAAGAAAAGUGAAAUGAGCACAUCAAAGGCAUUUGAGCUAUUGCACAUGGAUUUAUUUGGGCCAACAGCAUACACUAGCAUUGGUGGCAACAAGUAUGGAUUUGUGAUAGUAGAUGACUACACUAGAUACACUUGGGUGUUCUUCCUCUAUGACAAGAGUGAUGUUUGUGAUCUAUUCAAGUCUUUUGUCAAGAGGGUGCAAAAUGAGUUUGAAACCACUAUCAAGAAGAUUAGGAGUGACAAUGGUAGUGAAUUCAAGAACACAAGAAUUGAGUAAUUGUGUGAUGAUCAUGGUAUUGGACAUCAAUUCUCUCCAACAUACACUCCUCAAUCCAAUGGUGUGUUGAAAGGAAAAAUAGAACCUUGAUUGAUAUGGCUAUAUCAAUGCUUAGUGAAUACAAUGUUAGUCAUUCAUUUUGGAGUGAAGCUAUCAACACGGCUUGCUACUGUAGCAACUGUCUCUAUUGCCAUGGGAAGCUUGGGAAGACACCAUAUGAGCUAUUGAAUGGAAGAAAGCCCAACCUUGCAUACUUUAGAGUGUUUGGUUGCAAAUGCUACAUUCUCAAGAAAGGCACUAGAAUUGAGCAAGUUUGAGAACAAAUGUGAUGAAGGGUUCCUACUUGGUUAUUCCACCACAAGCAAGGCAUAUAGAGUUUGGAACUUGACAAGUGGCACAUUAGAAGAAGUCCAUGAUGUAGAGUUUGAUGAAACCGAGGGAUCUCAAAAUGAAGCUCAAAAUCUUGAUGAUGUGAGAGGAGAUCAAUUGGCAAAUGCAAUGAAGAACAUGGAUGUAGGUGACAUAAGGCCAAGGCAAGUUGAUGAUGAUAGUGAUAUUCACAUGAUCAAUCAAGAAGUGCAAAUUGAUGUAAAUCAAGCAAGUACUAGUGGCUCUCAUGAUGAUGAUCAAAAUCAAAAUCAAACAAGUGGAAGCAAUCAACUCCCAAUACUCCAACCUACAAGCAUAGCAAGAGAUCAUCCAUUAGAUCAAGUCAUCGGUGGUAUUCAAAGUGGUGUGCAAACAAGAUCAAGGCUAGCAUCCUUUUGUGAGCACUACCCAUUUGUCUCAUUUGAGGAACCUAAGAAGAUAGAAGAUGCAUUGAAAGAUUCCGAUUAGGUAAAUGCCAUGCAUGAAGAAUUAAACAACUUCACAAGAAAUCAAGUAUGGGAGAUUGUUGAGAGGCCAAAGAACUACAAUGUGAUUGGUACCAAGUGGGUCUUUAGAAACAAGCAAGAUCAAGAUGGUGUGGUUGUGAGAAACAAAGCAAGAUUAGUAGCACAAGGCUACACUCAAGUUGAAGGUCUUGACUUUGGAGAAACAUAUGCACCAGUUGCAAGAUUGGAGGCAAUUAGAAUAUUAUUAGCCUAUGCUUGUGCCCACAACAUCAAGCUCUAUUAAAUGGAUGUGAAGAGUGCAUUUCUCAAUGGAUACAUCAAUGAGUUGGUUUAUGUUGAACAACCUCCCGGUUUUGAAGAUGACAAGAAACCCAACCAUGUGUACAAGCUCAAGAAGGCAUUGUAUGGUUUGAAGCAAGCACCUAGAGCAUGGUAUGAGAGAUUGAGAGAUUUCCUUCUCUCUAAAGGGUUCAAGAUGGGAAUGGUUGACACUACCCUCUUCACCAAGAAGCUAGGCAAUGACUUGUUUGUGUUGCAAAUCUAUGUUGAUGAUAUCAUCUUUGGAUCAACCAAUCAAGACUUUUGUGAAGAGUUUGGAAAAAUGAUGGCAAAUGAAUUUGAGAUGUCCAUGAUUGGAGAGCUUAGUUACUUCCUUGGUCUUCAAAUCAAGCAAAUGAAGAAUGGCACUUUUGUAAGUCAAGGAAAGUACAUCAAGGACAUGAUCAAGAAGUUUGGGUUGCAAGAAGCUAAACCAAUGAGCACACCUAUGGGCACAAAUGAUCAAUUAGGUAGUGAUGCAAGUGGCAACAUGGUAGAUCAAAAGCUAUGCCGGUCCAUGAUUGGAAGUUUGCUCUAUGUCACCGCAUCAAGGCCGUAUGUAAUGUUUAGUGUGUGCAAAUGUGCAAGAUACCAAGCUUCACCUAGAGAAAGUCACUUGAAGGCAACCAAAAGAAUAUUAAGGUAUCUCAAGGGCACUCAUGAUGUUGGAUUAUGGUAUCCCAAGGGGUCUAACUUUGAGUUGAUUGGAUAUUCGAACUCUGACUAUGGUGGAUGCAAGAUUGAUAGAAUGAGCACAAGUGGCACUUGUCAAUUGCUAGGAAGGUCUCUAGUUUCAUGGUCAUCAAAGAAACAAAAUAGUGUUGCACUACCAACCGCCGAGGCUGAAUACAUUAGUGCCGGUAGUUGUUGUGCACAAUUGCUUUGGAUGAAAGCUACCUUGAAUGACUUUCGAAUCAAAUUCAAGAAUGUGCCUUUGCUAUGUGACAAUGAGAGUGCAAUCAAGAUGACACAAAAUCCGGUUCAACAUUCAGGAACCAAGCACAUUGACAUAAGGCACCAUUUCAUAAGAGAUCAUCAACAAAAGGGUGAUAUGAAAGCAUUGGCACCGAAGAUCAACUAGUCCACAUCUUCACAAAGCCACUUGAUGAGAAGAGAUUUUGCAAGUUGAGAAAUGAAUUGAACAUGCUUGACUUCUCCAACUUGAGAUGAGUGCAUCCCCACAUUUAUAUAUGACAUGCCUCUCCUCCAACAAAGCAAGGUAAAGUUGUUUGACAUAGCAUUCAUACUUUGCUAAGGACAUGAUUAGAACAUAUAGACAUAUUUGCAUGACAAUAGGCUCAUUCAUGAAAAUCAAAAGAAUUUGAUGUAUGUAUGGUACCACUAUUGUUUCUAUGACUGAUUGAUCUAGUGGUAGCAUAUGACAUGUUGGUGAGCUUGCAAGCCUAGUGUUGAAUCUAGAAUAUGAGCUUAUGAUGUGUAAUUCAACAUGGUCAAGAUAACCCUUAUACUUCAUGAGGUGUGAAAAAGCUUGUCCUUGGAUCAAACCGAAUUACAUAUUCUAGGCAAGUAAUCUAGAUUGAACCAUAAUUUAACCCUCACAUUGAUUAACUUAAUUCUCACUAAAAUUUGAACCUUUGUGGUCAUUGAUGACAAAGGGGGAGAGAAACAAAGAUAAAGUCAAAAAGAGGGAAGAGAAACAAAGAUAGGGAGAGAAAACACCUUUAAACUUGAGCACACAAAUAGGGGGAGCAAGCUUAUGAACCAUUUGUUGCAUUUGAAUGUGCAGUAACAUAAUGAGGUGUUGCAUUGCAAGUUCAAAUUCACAACUCUUGUUUGAUUGGUGCUUGCUAGAAACAGAACUUGAAUGAUGCUUUGAAUUCUAGCAUAGAGUUUUAUUUUCAUAUGGUAUCUAGACAUAUAUUGUGAUCUCACGAGGUAUAUUGAGUUUUUGAUGUAUGUCUAGCUACAUUGGUGCUAAGGAUGGUAUAUUGGCAACUCCGAUUGGUAUCACGCUUCAAAGGUCCAUUCUAUAUACCUUAGCAUCAUUUUGGUAGUAAUAAAUCUACCAAAAUUCCAAUUCAUGCAUAUGUGUAAACUUGAACCAAACUCAUGGAAACACAUAUGUAGGGGGAGCUAGUACUACCAAAACUGAAAUUGAAAUGUUUGUCCAACUUUGUCUCAUGAUUAAAAUGCUUUGGACAAGCAAUUCAAGUUCUUUAUGAUUUCAUUUCAUAUCUUUGUGAUGGUUGUCAUCAAUUACCAAAAAGGGGGAGAUUCAAAGCCCAAGUUUGGUUUUGGUAAUUAAUGACACCAAGUUGCUAAUGCCUUGUGUUUAAGUGAUUUGAGUUAGGCAUAGCAACAAAUGUGAUGAGGUGCAUGGUGGCAUGGAAAGGUGGCCACAUGAUCACAAAGGGAUGAAGCAUGAAGUGGAGAUCAUGGUGCUAGACGAGGAGCAAAGUUAUCAAGGCAAAGGUAUAAACAUAGGGUUUUACUUUUGCCGGUCUAAGAUCAGUAGAGAAGUGAUUGACCGGGUUUAGGAUAGAUAGCCGACUAUCAAGAGGGGAAAUCACAGUUAUCUCUUGAAUCAAGUGCUACUAGGUCCAUAUCUUGAGCAUAUGCAUUAGGAUCUAGUAAAAUGCUAACCUAACUCCUUUGGGAAAUUAUUUGUGAAAAGCUAACACACAUGCACUUUGGUGGUGUACACUUGUUGGUGUUAACACAUUUGCAAAGGAGGUGGAGUUCCUAGGGUCGAAUUCGGCGCUUUUGAGAAAAAUAAGUGUAUAUUUUCUAUUGCGCCGAUGGGAAAUUUGGAGAAGUCGCGGGAGUGUUUUCUCAGUGAGAAACACUCAUCGGACGCUGAGUGUGGAGGCACCGGACGCUGGCCUCAGAUUCCGGUGUGCUUAACCCUGCUAGGGUUGAACACCGGACACGCUCUGAGAGCGUCCAGUGGUUGGCGUCCGGUGUGAGGGCGUUUUGCAACCCUCUCUGUGUUUAAUCUGGUGGCUCACGUCCGCUGACUUGGCAAGUUUGUGGGACUCUCUGUGCAUGAGUCCGGUGUGCACUGGACGCGUCCGGUGUGGACCUGCAGAGCGUCCGGUGGUCCACAGGUGACCGUUAGUGUCUGACACGCGAGAUCCAAAAAAGACACGUGGCCAACCCCUGAGCACUGGACGCUGGGGGUCGAGCGUCCGAUGAUCACUUGGUAGCGUCCGGUGCCCCCGUUUUCAGCCCAGUGAAAACAGCCAACGGCUAGUUUCUUUAAGGGGGCUUAUAAAUAGAGCGUGGCCGGCUUUGGGAGGUUCUCUCUUGCACAUUUGAUUACUUGAGGCAUCCUUUGAGAUAGAGAACACUCCCUCCACUCAUCUCCUUGCUUGAUUGCUCAUCCUAGUGAGAUUGAGUGAGAUUCAAGUGCAUUACUUUGAGAGUUGCAUUUAGUGGCACUUGAUUCUUGAGUUUGCUGCGUAUUUCUUGUUACUCUUGGGUGUUUCCUGAUGCCCUAGAUGGCUUGGAGCAGCGGUGGUGUUGAGCUCGUGAUUUGAGAUUGUUUUGAGUCCCACCAAGUGAUUUGUGAGGGGUUCUUGAGCCUUCCCCGUGGGAGAUCGCAAUUGGCUACUCUAGUGGAUUGCUCGUGGCUUGGAGGAUCCCCAUCGUGUGAGUGGAUGUGCGGCACCCACUGAGGGUUUGGCUUUGGAUUGCCAAUUAGCUCGUGAUCCAUCAAGUGGGUGUAUCGCCACAACGAGGACUAGCUUGCCGGGAAGCAUGUGAACCUCGGUAAAAAAUCUUGUGUCAUCUCUUGCCGAGGAUUCUCUUGUAAUUGUGAUUGAUUGAUUGGCUAUAUUUCUACUCUACAACGUUGGUAUAACAAUCACUCCCCUCUCCUUUAGUUUUGUGCAUACCUUGCCAGUGGUGUAGAUUGUUUAGCUUAGCUAUCUUGUUUGGGAGUGUAGCUAGCUUCUAGUUGUGUUUUCUUGUUGUAACUAGCUUUUAGCUUUCUUGCUAGACUUGUGUAGGUGGCUUGCAUAGCUUAGUUGUGCUAGUGCUAGAAUAGCUUCGCCAUUUAUUUUACUAAUCAACUUGUCUAGUUGAAGUUUGUAUAAAAUUUAAAUAGGCUAUUCACCCCCCUCUAGCCAUUUGGACCUUUCACGUUCUCUACUUAGACCUUUAUAAAAUUGUUGUAAAAAAAUAGGGUCUGGUAGACUAAGGUCCGGGCCAGACGCUAAAAGUGUAGCAAAUCGAUUCCAGGCUGAAGACAAAGACUCUUUAGAUAUUUGCUUUAUAGUGAGAACCUUGACUCUAAGGUCGAUGAUUUGGGAGAUGGGAUAGAAAUCUAGGCAAAAGUUGGAAUGUAAAGAUCCCCAAUCUCCUUGUUGCUUACCUACGGCUCUGUUAUACCAUUGUCUAGCUUUUCCCAUUAAUGAAAAGGGAAAUAGCUUCCACCAGAGAGUUUCAUUAGAUAUGCCUUCAAUGUGAAGAUAGUCACAUGUUUGCUCAAAGUCUCUAAUGUGUAGGUAAGGAUUUUCAUAUCCUUCUCCUAAAAAGGUAGGCUUUGGAUGAAUGCAAUCAACCGGAGACUCGUUCUAUAGCUACAUGUUUGGAUAGGUUGUGAUGACUCAUGUGGCACUAGGCUGGUCUCUGUGGGUGUAGAGAACUGAAGGAUAGGAAUGGAAUUUAAGGUAUCCAUAAAAUAAAAGGUAAGAUGUAAGAAAAGGUGAGAUAACAGAAAAAGAUAAAUGUGUGAUACAAGGUAGAGUAAGAUAAGGUUAUCUAAGCAGAUCAUCUUUCUCCUCGGCAACGGCGCCAGAAAUGCUUGUUGAUAUUAGUUAUGCACACAAAAGAAUCAAAGAGAAAUAAUCCACAAGCACACAGAUAUCGGUGAGCACUUCACCUGGGAGAUAAUUCCAGAGUAUCAUAUUUAUUUUUUACCACUAGGAGAAAGCGUGCAAAAGACUAUCCUUUUAUCCUACCUACUACCCACGAGUUGCUUACCUAUGGUAAGCGUGCAAAAGACUGACCUUUUAAGCGAUAUAGAGAGAACUCUUUCUUCAGUCUUCUUCUUACCUAUGGUAAGUGUCUAGAUAUCAUUCUAAGGGGUGUAACUAGAGAAAAGAGACACCUCAGAGAGUGCUUAACCCUAGUACCAUAUACCCUACGUUACCUCCUAACAGGACGUGGAUUACUAAGACCCAAUAGGAUUGUCACUUCCCCCAAAAGGCUACCACAAAUCUAGGCAAGCAAUAAAUAUCUACGAGUAUUCCUAGCCCAAGCACCGCACUUACACUACGAAUAAUUACUAUAUUCCCUAUGCUAAGCGAAUAAAGUAAACUCGUAAACCAAUGAACAAUAAGAACAAUAACUUACUAGUAUUAGAAGUUGAAUUGCCAAACAAUUCUAGAACCAAGGCUCGGGUUAGGAGACUUGACCCUGAUGAUACAAAGAAGAAGGCACCGACAGGCCGGGCUUCCUCAACUCCUAUCCUCACCCUAUACUCUCUCAAUCUCUCUUGUUGCUAUCACCCUAAAGAAAUAGAUCUAUUUGAGGGACCCCUCUCUGUCUAACUCUCUCUAGAAAAUAUGAAUUAGGGUUUCAGAGUUACAUCUCAGGGGGGUCAGGGUCUUUAUUUAUAGCCCCCUAGGAAUCACCACAGCCCUUGGAUCAAACCAACUUAAACAUGUGAUUAAGAUUAAUCCUCAAAGUCGAUGGACAUAGGAUCUGCGAGGUUUUCUCCGAUUGGUGGAGAGUCCCGGGCGGUUGCCCCUGAUAGGGUGGGGCGCCCAUCCCUGUCCUAUGGGAGGUGGGUCCCAUCAUUCAUGUGGUGGCUCCUAGAGUAUUCUACAAUGUUCAUGAGUUGACGUUGAGGUCUUCUCUCUGUGUAAAUCUGACAUGUAGACCUUCUUUUGUUAUUAUUCCGGUAACCCCUUGCAAAAAUAGACAAUCACCAAAUCUCGUGGAAUUCUAUUAGUGAUAACCCUAUUUCUACUGAAUGCUUGCAAAUAGGUCCUUUUUCAUUUUAAGUUGAUGGUUAAAAUUAGGAGUUAUCUACCAUCAACACUCAACAGUGUGGACUUAAACCUUAGUGAUGAGCUCAACCACAAGAUAAAUCAUUGUGUCUUGUGUGCUAUUGCACGUUCUCUCUUAUGUUCAACCCUUUCUAGGGUUUGGAGGCUCAAUCUAUUUCCAUGGGAGUUUUCUAUGGCAUCCAGUCUUGGAACUAGACUUUGUCUUGAUUUUGUAGGAUUGUAUAGUUUAUAAUUUCAACUUACUUUCUGCAAAAUUUCAUUCCUAUCUAACGUAUACUUGAAGGCCAAUAGUGCCACCCUCUGUGCUAAUAGUAUUUUGAGUUUCAUUUUUAUAGGCCUAUUCACCCCUCUCUAUGCCUCCUUUACCUUCAAUAAGAUCCUACAAGUGGUAUCAGAGCAAGGUUGCUUCAAAUACGCUUCACCGCGUGAAGUAUGGAAGUCAGAGGAGAUUCAAGGACAGCUCGUGACCCAAAUGAGGGUGGUGUACAUGUCAAGGACAUCAGUAGCAGCAGUGACAUGUCACACUCGACAACAAGCAACACCACUCUCAAGAUUGACAAGACCACCGAUGUGGAAAAAAGGAAGGAAAUAAAAGCUAGAAGAGAAGCAAAGAGAAAGGUAAGAGAAGAGCAGCAAAAGCAUGAUGAAAAGAUGCAAAGAAAAGAAGAAAGAAGGUUUAUUCAUGAAGAAAUAGCCAAGAGAAGAGCAGCACAAAUAAAGCAAGAAGAAAAGAAGGCAUAUGAUGCUUCAUCAAGUGAUCUAGUAGCUCAGAUGAUGGUGAUUAUGAUGCAUCAUAUCAUGCCUCCAAGGGAAACGAGAAGAACAAGAACAUGUAGAAGAAGCGCAACAAGGACAAAGUCAACAGCACCAAGAAGAAAUAUGCAGCCAUAUCUUUUAAUUAUUCUUACUUGCCUAACUAUGACCGCAAGUCUUUCAUCAAUGUACCGGCGGGAAGUUGCCUCAUUUUGAUGGGACAAAUUUUGCCAAGUGGAAGCACUUGAUGAGGGCUAAAUCUUAUCGAUCUUCACCCCAAUCUUUGGGAAAUUGUGUGUAGUGGAUUUGAACCAUCGAAGAACCCAAAGAGCCAGCAAAUGAAGAGCUAGCUGUUGUCCACCUUAAUUAUCAAGCCACAAGUAUUCUUCUUAGCGCUCUAGAUGGAAACGAGUACAAUAGAGUGAUGAAUAUUGAUGUGGCAAAACAAAUUUGGGACAUUUGCAUCUUGCUCAUGAGGGUGUAGACAAAGUAAGAAAGGGCAAAAUUGAUUUGUUGAUGGCCAAACUAAAUAGGUUUGUGAUUGUUGAUGGAGAAGGGCCACAAAAAUGUUUGAUAGAUUGAUGACUUUGGUGGCCAAAAUUAGAGGCUUUGGUUGUAGUGAGCUUGAUGACCACAAAGUGGUGAAAGUCAUGUUGGAAGCAUACUCACCAAGAAAUGAGACCUUAGUCACCUUGAUUGGAGAUAAGAAAAAGUUUGAGCACUUCAAAAACCAAAUGACAUGCUUGGAAGAUUGUUGACUUUUGACAUGCAAAUAGAAGAAGCAAAUGAGAGAAGGAAGCUUGGAGAGCUGCAAGAAAAGUUAGAUGGUAUGAAUGUUGGUAUAAAUUAACUGCACCAUAAAUAAUGAUUAUGAUCAGAUUAUCCGCAAGCGCAUAGAUAUAUACUAAUCGGCACUUCACCAAGAUCGACCUGGUUUUAAUAUCGAACCUAAAGGAACAGUAGGUGAUUUGUGACCUAGUCUAUAACUCUUAAUCUAAGGGGGGUACAAUCAAUUUAGAAAACUAUUGAGAAUGAGGAAGUAGCUAAUGUACUCUAGUUCUAAUAACCGGUAAGCUUUGCAUAAUAUCGUCUUAUCGGGCAAGUAACCCGACUAGGAGUAGAAACAGAGUAAUCUCCUAUUAGGCACCUAUAAGCCUAUCGGUCCUAUCAACGGGAAGUGGACUACAAAGGAUUCAACAUAGCUAUAAAGUAACCUAAGCGAGCUACCACUGUUCCGCUGAUCAGGGGACAUUUACAAGCAACUAUAGCCGAGACACCACGUCUACGCUAUGAAUCACUACUCCGACCUAGGAGCUACCCAAAUCAAAGUACUCAAUAUAAUAUAAGUUGCAAACCAAAGAGCAAAUAAAAACAAGUUGCUUACUUGAAUCAAAAUGGCAAAUACAAAAGUACCUCAGAACGUAGCUCUAGGCAAGGGAGCCAAAUCCAGAUGAAUAUAGCUCCUGAGGAAGCUUCGACAAGCCAGGACUCCUCUGAAUCUCUACUUCUCUACUCUAUCUCUAUAUUCUCUAUCUUGAUUGCUAGCCUAGAUCUAGUGGAUCUCUAUCUAAUGCUUUGACUCUUCAUCUCUUGAUUUGGCCCUACUCUAGGGGGUCUAGCCUUCUAUUUAUAGCCCGGUGGGAUACACAUGCGCCGUAGGAUCAAACUGACUUAACCAGGGGCCAAGAUGACUCCUCCAAGGCGGUGGAAGAAGCUUCCAGAAGGGGGCCCGGCCAGCGCAGGGGUGGGGCCGGCCAGCCCCACCGCCUCUACCAGUCCCGCUGCUUCAGGUCUCUUCUGGAGACUUCCUGACCCUGUUGGUGGUGGUGUUGCAUCGCGGAUAAGUUUUGUGUUUAUUUUGCACUUGAAUCCCUCUUUUCAGCUUUUUCUGAAAUAAACCAUGGAAAACACAGAAUAUGCAAAACUCGUGGAAGUUGUCAGUGAUAACCCUAUUCUAGUAGAUAUUCAUAUCUGGUGGAGAAAUAAAUGCUAACAAAUAUUGUGAGUUAACAGCUGUCAACGAUUACCCCCACACUUAGGCUUUUACUCAUCCCAAAGAAAAGGUUGGUUCUAUCAUAAAGAAUAAACAAUUAAUGCAUAACUUGGAAACUAAACUAUAUAAAACCAGUCUAGCUACCAUGCAUUGUGUGAAUUUAAAGUGUUUAUCAUGAAUUCUGUAGUGAUUGUAGAGUAAGAUAGCUUAAAAUAGAUUACUCUCUUCCUUAAAUUUUGCCUAUUGGAGAAUAAGUUGAGUUUGCAAAUAACACAUAGCUUCGACCUGUUCUUAAUUGUAGUGUCAUCAAUGGUUGUGAUAUUAAUUUGAUGUUCAUAACCAGGGAGGGAAAUAUCAUAUUCUUAGAUCAGAAGAAUCAUCCACUUGUUACCAUAUUAUGUUGGAGCGACCAUGUGCUCUCUAAUUCUACUUAUGAGCACAUGCUCAUAUCUCUUUUCUUAUUAAAUCGAGGUUCCAAACACUUGUCCCUUUUUAUUUCCUCGUGAUCUAUCUUUUUGAGGUUUUGGACACUUGUCCCUUUUUAUUUCCUCAAAUUUCUUUAUGAAUAGCUCAUGCCUCCUUCAUAAUAAUGCUUCAAGAGAGUGUAUUAUGUUUUUAUUUUAUUUUAUGAUACUGGGAAUAUGAUAAAUCUCUCAACCAAAGCCAUAAUAAUAGAAUGAUAUGAUUAUUAUUUGAUUCUAAUACAAAGAGAGGUGAAGCUAAUUGUUUUUACCUUUUUGAAAUAAAAUAUCCAAAGACAAUUAUCAGGAAUUGAGUACUCAUUAUUUUGCUAUCUCUCUUUCCACAAUAAUUUAAGCAAUCAUGAAGUACUAUAAAUUUCACAAUUAUCAUGACUCUAGAAAAGUGUUACAUACUUUAUUUUUCAAGUCAUAGAUUAAAUGGUGUUUAUUUUUUCUUAACAGUAUUUAAUUCGAAGAUUUAUGAUUUGGAUGACAAUUCAAAGUGAGAUAUAUGCAACUAUACUAUCACUAACUCAAACCUGACUGUGACCGAAGUGAGAGCGAAGGUGGGUGAGCUGGGGCACCGCCCGGCGCCACUUAGGCACCGGCCAGCCCCACCUAUGAGCAAUGUGGGGCCCGCUUUGUCGUGCAUGGUCUUGGUUCGAUUGUGUUCCUAAUUACGCUAAUUUUCCGAUUGAAUUUUUGUUUCGUGACUACAAUGUGCCUCCCCCACACUUGUUUUCCUGUAUACUAUUCUGCGCAAUAUGUAGAGACAAACACAUACCAAAAAAAUAGAGAUAGAGUAUAAAAGAUAAAGCACUUUAUUAAUGGCGGUGAUAAUAUAUAAUUUGACAGACGCUUUAACGACAGAGCUAACGACUGCCCUAGCUCAUUAGGCUGUGUCCUAAGAAAAAUUUAUGACUUGACUGACCCAACUAACUAACCAAACCUAGUGGGAUUGUGCCUUAUUACUAGAUAACUAGGCAACUAAGGCUGCCCUUCAUUGUUGAGGCCCUGAAUUACUUCUUGGAGGGCUACAACCUAUGCUUCAAGCUUGACUUUGUCACGCUUGAGGCUGCGGAUUAACUUGAGACUGUUCCCUAACUGAUUAUCCAUGCCUUCUAUGAGCUUGUCUCUCAGAUUGUUGGAUGUUUCCAUUCACUUGACAAUAUCGGAAAGGCCUUCAAGCUUCUCAUUGAGGCUGCAUAAAGUAGGUGAUGGCUGCUUGGGAACUUUCUCCAGUGCUGAUGCUGGUGUUGCUCUCUUCCUCUUGGGUUUGGGCUUAGGUGCAAUGUGCUCAGUGUUGGAUACCUCAUUAGGGUUUGCUCGAACUCCUUGGAUAACAGGACGAGUAGUGGUGUACUUGACGCAUACAGUUUUCCUUUCUUGUUGGUUUGGACCGACAAGAGCCAUUCAUUGUCCUUAGGUGGAAGAAGCGGAGUACCUUUCGGGAUAGCAAUCUGCUUCCCCUUGGCACAUCCUUUAAGCAGCAGCCUUGUAGGAGGUGGAGGAAGAGCAGAUGGAUCUUGUAUGUAGUAGGCUUGCUCAUGACGCUGGGGCACCGUAGAACCUUGCUUUGGCAGCACAACAACGAGAGGCUUGGGCAGCGUGAGGACGAGGGCCUUUGAGUCAUCGUUGGGGAUGUUGUUGAAGUCUGUGUCGUAGGAGACGAUUGUUGGGUAUUCUUAACGUCAUUACCGAAAGUAGACUUAGUUUUCUAAUUUUGAUAACGGCGCCAAAAAUGCCAAACCUAUCCCUCAUACCACUUAAGCCAAGUUGUCAUCCCCAGCAUGACAUGAGAGACGCGGUAUUGAAAUAUGCAAUUGCUCAUCUAAAUAAAUAAUAAAUGGGAUCUGCAAGCGCACAGAUUAAUACCGAUGUAGCAUUUUACCCGUUAUAUUUUUACCACUGGGAAGGGAUUAGUAACCAUCAAUGUUGAUUAUAGAAUGGAAUAUAAGAUUGAGUCUCUAUCAUUGCAUGUAUAAUUGAGAACAUUUAUCUAUCUCUUUCAUACAGGGAUAAGUGUCACAUAAAGAUAUAUGAAGUAAUGAAUAGUGACAAAGAUAAUUAAUCUGAUCAGCAUAACUAGCCACAUAUAAAUUCGUGGAAUUCUGUCAGAUAAAACCCUAUGUAUAGAUGUUGAUUUCAUUUGGAUCAUUUUCUUUGUUUAUUUGAUAAUUAAUUUGAUUCUUAAGGACCGUCAAUAAACUCCCUCAAGCUUACCUCUUGCUCGUCCCUGAUCAAGGAUAAUCUUAGCGAUGGAUCAUAAGUUGUUGCAAUAUCUUUAAAAAUUGACAGUACACAUGCUUUAGAUGAGAUCUCAUCUCUGAGUUAGAGUAAACUUUCAAGACUUAAAACUUACUUACUUUACCUUUCACCAUGGUACUUGUAACCGUCACUUCUGUCUUGAGUAGUUAAAAGAUAGAACAGUCUAGUCAAGUGCCAUGUCUCUUAUUCAUGAUCAGCUAUAGCUGUAGAGUUUUUGUAGAUUUUCAAAUAAAACUUAGAGAUUCCCUGUAUGACUCUCUUAGAUCUCUCUUUUGUGGUAUUUCUGGAUCCUUACCAAGGCAGUGAUGGUAUAUGCCUUCUCUCAAAAUAUGUGGUAUUUGUAGUAUAAGGCAUAGUGACUUCUCUCUCACCCUACUCUAUUAAGGCUUUUGAUAUCUGGAGCUCAUAGGUGGGAGAUAAAGUAUACAUACUUACAAGACAUUUAUUGUAGAGUCAAACCAUGGAUCCAAAGAAACAAAUCAAUAAGUCAAAUCAUGAUGUGCAUGUGUGGUGAAUGAAUGGUGUAUGGUGAUGAUGGUGAAAGUCUAAUUUUAUUUUUGCUCUCUGAGGGGAUACAUACCUUUCUUGCUUUUUUUUGAAACUUUGUGAGGAGAAUGAGAUGCUCUGUAUUUUCUUUUCUCUCAGGUGGGUAUCUUGUACCCCUAAUUCUACUGUCGGACACUUGUCCAUUUUUACCUCUCGUCUCACUUUUUCUUUUCUUUCGAGGUUCCGGACACUUGCCCCUUUUUACUUCCUUGUAUCUCUUUUUUUUCUUUUUUUUAGAGCACUCAUCUCUUGAGAUAAUAUAGCAAGUGGUAGUAACACGAUAACUUGAGCAUUUAUUUCACAAGGGAAAAAUAGAAAUGUUUUUGGCCAUUCUCUCCCGAAUUAGGAGUAGAAUGCUUUUGGGUGGUUCUGGAGAAGGAAAUGGAUGGAUAUAUGUGGAUGGUACUUCCGGAGUGGAAGCAGCAUAUGUGAGUGAACGUGCAAGUGAAUCUUGAUUUGACCACAUGACAAGCUCCUAAGGGUCUACACAGCUUGACCACACUCAAUGCUCAUAAGCAGUAAAAAGUAAAUGUGUGGCUCAAAGUCUAGCAAGCAUGUAUAUAUGGCUGUGGUAGGAAUUUAAACUCUUAUCAUACAGGAACUCAUCAUGUAAUAUUUUAAAGAUUUUUGAAGAUAAAAUUCUCCAGAAUUCUAGCAUCUCUAGGAAUAGAUAAAUAGCAGCUCAACCUUCCCAUAUCAUAUCUGUUAACAACUUAGACUUCAGAUCAAGUUUUCUUCCCACAAGUUUUAGGUUUAGAGCAAGCUUUAAAUUAUAACAGUUAUGUCUAAACUAGAGAGAAAACUCAAAUUUGAAAAUUAGGCAGAGCAACUAUUCAUCAUAUCCAUGUAAGAGUUUUAUUAUUAAGAUUCAGUUUAGCAUAGCUACUUUAUUUAUUUAUUAAACACACUAAGCAAAAGAUAUAUAUUAUAUUUUAAUAUAGUAUAAGUAUAAAGAUAGAAAUACUUAGCAGGAUAAAUGGGGGUGCUCUCCCCCAAAGCUGAAUUUUGACGUAAUUUCUUUUGAUGUAGCUAGCAGGUGGCAGAGGUGUAUUUGAAAGUCGGCAGUAUUCUGACAGCGAUUAGAAUAUCCUCCGUCUGCUAGUGUUCUUGAUUCUUAAAUUUUGUGGAGCUCAAAUAGACAACAAAGCUUUGUGGAACUGAUUAAGUGUUAGCAUAAAUAUCUAGCCUUUAUUAUGUUGAGCCUCCUCAAUAAAUGUUACUCUCUAUUUUUAUAUUUUCAUUUUAUAAAGCAGAAAAGAAAUAUUUAUUUUAUUUUUAUGCCACCACAAUGAAUGUACUUAUGGGUUUCAUGCCACUCGUAUACUCACAUGGGGCUUACUCUUUUUUAACAUUUUUAUUUUCUUUUUAGGAUAGUAUGAACAUGAUUAACUAAGCAAACUAUUUUAAAUAAUUGAAAAGAAAAAGAUAACUACCAAGUUUAUCUCUUGGCUAGGCGUUCGGUGUUUUUAAGUCCUCCAAACGGGACUCUCCGUUUUCUUGUUGUCCUGGGAUUCGUUGGGUGGCGUAGUCGGUACUUCCGGCAGUGCCUCCUCUUCAUGUAUAGUUAUCUUCUCUUUCCACACCUAACUCGGUGCUACGGUCUCCUCUGGAUAAUUUUGGUUAAACUGUAUGUCUUCUGACCUGAUCACUUCUCCUUCAUAGUCUGCCCAUCCGUCCUUGAUAAUCUGCCUCCUCUAGUUGCGGUUGCGUCGUUUUCUGAUCUGCUUAGAGUCUUCAACGAUAUAGUUAGGGUCAGUAAAAUAGCGGCGUACCUUCUCUGAGGGGAAGUGCAUAUGGACUUCUCCAGUAACAAUGUAGAUGAUUGCUUUAACGGUGCUGAGGAACGGUCUUCCAAGGAUGACGGGUGGACCGUAUUCGUCUUCUCCCAUGUCAAUAACCUGAAAGUCUGUGUAGACAAAAUGAUCGUUUAUUUUGACUGGGACAUCAGUUACUAUUCUUUUGACCUCUCGAAAUGUCUGAUCUGCCAUCUGGAGCUGAAUGUAUGUUGGUUUUAGCGGCAUGGUUCCGAACAAGAGCCGAUAGGUGACUGCGGCCAUUAUGUUGACGCCCGAUCCGGUGUAGCAAGUCGUCCUGUAGAAGUUGUAUCCAUUAAUGGAGCAAUAGAUGCUUGGCAUUCCUGGGUCGUCCUUCUUGGUCAAAAACGGUGACUUAAGUCGAUGAUCUUGACCUCCAUGAACUGCAGUGACCAUCUUAGCUGACUCGGUCCACACUUGCUUGUUCCAGUUCCUCCUGUUGGUCCUCUUCCUUGGUUCAUGUCA